UUUAGGCAUCAGUUAUGUUAAUUAGUGGCAACGUAUCUGCCUUUCUACUUUCCUUAUGGUUGUAUAAGUACACCAGUCUUUCCUGCUAAAUAAUAUACAAGCCUUUUGCAUCAUAUUUUCUCUUUGUUCAUUCUUGUUAUAACCACUAUAUUUCAUCAAAUAACCAACAAGAACUCAUUAAGAAACUUGUAUGCCGAUUUUACCGAGAAUUCACAUUUUUUAUUCACCACCCAUAAGAAUUUAUCCUGCUGUUGCGAUGGAAGGAUCGGAAUUUGCAUAAUUUGUUGACUUCAAAUGCAAAGAAUAACUCAUUCAGCAGCUGAAUUUUCCAUCCUCCAUAUUUUGGAUUGGUUAGAGACUUUACAAAUAUUUAAGGAGGAGAAUGAGGAAUAAUUUACCAAGAAAGAAACUGAUGCAAAUCUUGCCACAAAUGAGGGGAUGUCGCUGAGAAAAGUGGCGGCCAAUAUCAUGUCCUGCUCGUAAUUGCAAAUGGAUAAUUAAUCCUUUAAUUGUUUUGAAUAAAUUUUUUUUUAUGAGAAUUAAUCCUUUAAUUAAUAUCUAGAUGGAACAAAUGCAAUAUUGUAGCUCAUAAGAUAUGAAGUACUGAUCCUUGCAUGAGUAUUAUGUCAAUGUAGGUUAGUAGCUAAACAUGAAAGCAUGGUAAAGGGCUCAAGAAAGCGAAAGAGAAGAAAUAAUGCAGCAACAUCACUUAUGUGUACCUGUCACUCUUCAUUCUUGGGUCACUUAUGUGUACCUGUCACUCUUCAUUCUUGGGUUCAUUAUCAACUAAUACAUCCUGUUGUUAAUUGGCUUCAAAUUUGUGGUUUAGAAGAACAGAGAAAUCGUGACACGAUUUCAUCAGCGUGUCAUGAUUUCCAGGCAGUGAGCAUGGUUUGCAGGGUGCUCAAUCGUGUCACGAUUUUGGAAAAACGUGACACGAUUUUCAAACUUGCUAGGUACGUUUUUCAGGAUAAGGUUGGUCGUACCUUGGGUCGUACGCACCAAUCGUGUCACGAUUUGGCAAAAACGUGACACGAUUUUGAUAGCUGAAGACUGCUAUAUAAGUGUUCUUGUGCAGAUUUUGAAGGUGAGCUGGAAGAGAGAGAAACUUGGAUUACAAAGGGGGUAACUUUAGGGUUGAGUGUCUUUGUAGUGAGGAUCUCUUAGGUUGAGAAACAUUGUAAACACCUUGGGUUGUGAGAUUUCACCAUUGGAAGGAUCAAAAGCUUCUUUUUAUGUUUUCUCUUAGGAUUCAUUAUUGAGUGUGGGUGACACAAAAUGGGUAGAAAUUAGGUCUUGCUCUUGUGUAAGCUUAUAAGCUAAUUUCUUGUAACUCCUUUGUAACACUUUCAUCAUAGUGGAUUGGAGAGUUGCUCUCUCCCCUAGAUUAGAUCAUAUUGGACUGAACUGGGUCAACAAUCUUGGUGUGUUUGUUCCUUUCUUUCAUUGCUUAUCUUUGUGCUUUGUGAUGUUGCUCUACACUUAGAUUUAUGUCUGUUUUUGUUGUUUUUGCUUGGAGACACUUUAUCCAUUGAUUACCACUUCCUUUGCUCCACACAUCUUUGUUCUUCAUUGGUGUGAUUUUGUACCGAAUUCACAACACAUCCAAAUAUUGAUUAUAAUGUAAGCACCGGUUACAUUAAUCAAGCUUUAUUAUUGAAUACAUAUAACACUGAUAGAAAACGAAAAUGGAGAGAAAAUCCACUGUUGGGAGAAGAGGUUAGUGGUUUUUAAUACUUACAUUGGUUGAUGAAAGAAAUUAGGAAAGAGAGCAAAACUGAUAACAUAUAUUGCAAAAACAAAAGUCCCACAUCCAAUGUUUGUACAAAACAGACAUGAAGAUAUGCCUAUAUAUAAAACAAGAGCCCACUUAUUGAUAUACUUAAACACUCAAAUUCUGUAAUACAGUGAUAUAUCACUACUUAUUGUUCGGUUGUCCUUCUUGCAGAUUAUAAGUGGACUCAUUUAACGAGUUUCAUUUUCUAAUCACUUGUAAUAUGCAGGAAUGUCAUUCGACUAAUAACAGGAUAUUAAAAAGUACUUCAAAUUUUGUUCAAAAACAAAAAAAAGUACUUCAAAUUAUUAAAAUAAAUUGUUCCUUUUUUUAAGGGAAAACAAAUCCUGCACUUAAUUAUGGAUAUUGAUGUGUUGGAUUUAUUUAUUUAUUUAUUUGUCAAGUAGUUUGAAUAGGUGUGGAGUGUUUCGAGUUUGAACCUUAACUCUGCAUAUAUCUUGUAAUGUCUUUAUGUGGAGUGUUCUGGGUUCGAAUCUCAAACUCGAUAUAUAUUAUACAAUUUCCUUGUUAACUUAGUUAACUCAUAGAGACAUGUUGGAUUUAUCUUUAAUGUCAUAAUAUAUUUUCCUUCUUUUUCUUUUGGGACGAUAUUUCCUUCUCCUUUUUAUUUGUUUAAUGAAUUUGGUUACUUUUGUUUGACACCAUUGUUUCUCUUUUCCUGUAAUAAUCAUACCUAGAAUUAGACCGGCACGAUGUGUGCAUGUCUUGAAUCUUAUCUUUAAUUAAAAAUAUAUUCCAAAUUUAUUAUUAACUUACUGCACAUACAAAUUUUGUUUGUGACAUUGAAUCAUGUUUUUAGGUAAAGUAAUGAUAUUUUGUCCAAAAAAAAUGUAAAGUUAUAAUAUGAUCAAAGAAUUGGUGACAUCAAAGAUAUAAUCUUAUCCAUUACGACUGUCUAUGCAAAUUUCUCUUCCCCUUCUAUGCAAUUUGCAUUGUGCUGCACAUAUUUACGAAGAUGAAUCAACAUGAUGAAAAGGAAAAUAUGAGUUAACAUGCACACAUAUUGAUCGAUUUAAAAAACACAAUAGUAGUCAAUAAUAUUGAAUGCAAUAAUGUGUUGACAUAGAAGAAUGGUAGAGUUCUCUUAGAGGUGCAACAUCAUAAUAUUUAUGACGUCGCACAUAGAGAGAUGAUGUGUCGUCAACACAAUUUGAGGGGUUGAAUUAAUAAAUACAACAAUAUAGAUAGAUUAGUUAUUAGCAAGGUCUUCCAAAAGAAACAAGGUCUUCUUAUUAGGUUUCCUCCGGUUCAGGAAAUUUUUCGAGGCAUUUCGCAUAGCUCUAUCAUUCUUUCUUCCAUGCACUUCCUUCAGUUCAAACAAACUCCACCGGCAUAUUCUCCACCGACAGUAGAAACUCUCGACAACUUCUCCCACCGCAAGCUUCAAACAAACGGGAAUCGAAAGCUUCGUACAAAAGUUGCAAUAAUUUUACAGUACAAAAAAGCUCAUCAACGACUUCCGAGAUAUUAAUCCACGUUCUCUCUUUUCUCCCAAUUGAAGAAGCAUUCAGAACUAGCGGGUUCACUUUCGUUGAUUCGUGGAUACAAUUAUGUUGACUCACUCUCUGUUGUCCGCUUUGAUGAUAUAAGCUUCUAUCAAAGAAACACAGAGAAGUGGGUUCACUUUCGUUGAUUCGUGGAUACAAUUAUGUUCAACCCACACUCUCAAUAAGUAACCCUUAAAUCUUAUAGUCUCGAGUUUUUUUCCAGACUCUUGAAUGUUGAGGCUGGCUGUGUCAUUUUCGAUAAAUGGGUUGAAGUAGCAAUGCAACGUCACAUAGAGGAUCUUUAUAUAUACUUGGUUAACGUCCAUUUGGUGCCUUCCACCAUUUUCUGUUGCAAAACACUUGUGUUUCAUUGUUAUGUAGAUCUUCCUAUGCUCAAAACUCUACAAUUGUUUAAUAUUUAUUUCGAAGUUGGGAAGGAUUUCAUGAAACUUAUCUCUGGGUGUCCCGAAUUGGAGGAUUGGAAAACUACAAUUGUUACACACAGAACGGUUAUAGAGUCCUACGGUACAUUGAAUUGAACCAUCAUUGAAGUUGAUCAAUGCCGAAAUCAUUUUAUUUGAGGUUCCAUAUACACCACUUAAAAAUGUAAAGUAUCUUAUUGUAACAUCAGUAUAAUGUUAUGUAUGUUGUUUGGUUUUUAUCGUGUUUAUGAUAUCCAUGUAUGUAUCUUCCUGUAAUUUGUAAUAUUUAUAGUUGAGUUCUUGUUAUUUUCUAUUCUACAUAUGCUUGUAAGAUAUGAAUUUGUUGUGCAUAGAUGGGAAAUUACACAUAUAUCAUAUUUAAAAAAUGUGAAUAGACAUCCAUACAUAAAAAACUUGCAACACAAUCCAAAAUACAUCAACCUGCAAAAUUAAGAAGGUAAUGAUGGCAAAGCUAAACCAAAACUAAAGCUGCCCCUUUAGCAUGCUAAACCAUGACUACUUAAAUAAUAAUGUGUGUGUGUGUGUAACGUUUAGAUGAUGAAGUUUCUUCUGUUGUAACUUUCCUUUAGAUGUUUGACUUUCUGUUCAGCUGUUUGGUAUACCAAAAGAAAUCCCACAUCGAAUAUGUGUAAAAAACAGACAUUGAGAUUUGCUUAUAAAAUAACAGUAUAUAUCAUUUACAAGCAUAUUUUUGGGGUUGUCUCAUAAUUUUAACUGUUUUAUAACAGUUUGUUAUUUAAAUGUUGUUUUUUUGAGAUGGCAAGUGAUUGGAUUUUUAAAUAAAUGCAGUUUAGUCUUAGUCACUUGCAAUUUCAAUAAACAACAUUUGGACAAUAACUAUAUAUAAUUAAACCAAAAGUUAUAAAUUAAAUUUGAAAAUGAAUAGUAGGAGAACAAUAUCGUAUUGAACAAGCAUUUAAAGGAAUGUGUAUAUAAACAUUUUCCUAUAUCUAAAUUAAUAAGUUAUAGCUCUCUUUUAAGUUUAAUAAGUUCCGUUUUCGGAUCAGUUAAAUCUAAAAUUGACUCCUUGUAAGAUCCAAAUGUUUGAAGGGCUUAUUAGGAUGAUUAUGAUUGCAAUAUGGUAUCUUAUUAAUUUCUUUUAUGUAUUUUUUUUUUUAAGGAUUCCUUUAUGUAUUUUAAUAGACCAUUGUGAUCUAGUUUUUGAUAAAUAUCUUAUCGUCUUUAGUCUAAUAUUUAAUUAAACCUCAUUUUAUUAAUUCCAUUUGUGUGCUUAUUUUUUUUUUUAAGCUAAUAAAAAUAUAUAGAAGAAAAGAAACAAGAACAAAAAGAGAAAGGGAACAUAGACCAAAACCUUCUCAAACUAAAAAGAUAAGCAAAAAGUUGGGGGCAAAACGCCAAACCCAACAAAGAGUAGAAGAAAAGAUAAAAAAAAAACAUGCAAACCAAAAGGAAAAGAAGAAGAGAAAGAAAUGAAACAAACUCAAAGCAAGAUCAUGAGUUAUUAAACUUCAUAUUAAAUUAAUUCAAUGUGUGUGUGAGUUUCAUAGUUAUUUAUCAUUUCCUACAUAUUUAAUUAAGACUAAAUUACACCAAUGGUCCUUUAAUUUUUGAGUUUUUCUAUUCACACCCUAUAUAUUUCUGGUUACAUCCAGUUUUUUUUAAAAAGUUUUUGAUAAUACCAAAAUUGUCCUUUUAUAUAAAUUUUCUUAAAAUCUUGAUUUCAUUCAUUGUCACUCUAAAAUUCCACUCUCUUUCACCCACCAACUAUCAAACAAUCCUGAUGUUCAAUUAAUCUCUAUGGAAGAUUAAAGAGUGAAUCAAAACAUCUUUCAUUCAUACUCGAUUGCAUAUAAAUAAGUGCAUUUUUUCUUCUUUUUCAAUAGCGCUGGUUUCAAUUUUCUUCUUCUUGUUCAACUGCACUGUACGACAGUUUCAGUUUUACAUCGUUGAGGUUAACUUAAAUUCAGUUUAAGUAGGUUCAUGUAAAUUUUGUUUGCAUAAUCUACUUAAACUUAGUUUACAUAACCUACUUAAACUGAGUUUAAGUAUGUAUACUUAAACUCAGUUUACAUGAGCUACUUAAACUAAGUUUACACGAUCUACUUAAAUUGAGUUUAAGUAUGUACACUUAAACUUAGUUUACAUGACCUACUUAAAAUAAGUUUACAUGUACAUACUGAAACUGAGAUUAUGUAGAAUCAUUGAACAAGGUUGAACUUUUAAAUGUACACUUAAACUCUGUUUACAUUACCUACUUAAACUGAGUUUAAGUAUGUACACUUAAACUCAGUUUACAUGACCUACUUAAACUGAAGAGAAAAUUAAAUUUUAUGGAAGGGUAAUUUUGUCAUUUUGGGGUGCAACCAGGAUUAAACAUGGUGUAAUUAGAAAAACUCUUAAUUUUUAAGUUUAUAAUAGAUAGGUCAUUUUAAGUUAUUUUGAUCAAACAUAAAUUUUUAAAUUUGUAAACGUUUUCAAUUUAGUCGGUUUUGUUAACCAUACAUUACAAAAACAAUACGUGGCAGUUAAGUGUGUGGAUUUUGAACAUGAUUUAAGGUUAAAUUUGUCGUAUAACUGAGAUCAAGACUAAGACAUGUACACAAUAAUAAACUACUACCUCCGUCCCUAAUUAUAAGACCCUUUUGAAAAAAAAAAUUGUCCCUUUUUAUAAGACCCAUUUGCUAUUUCCAACUACAUUAAUUAUUUUUUUACAUACAUGCCCCUAUUAAAUAUACAUAUUUUUCUUCAAUCAACAAUAAAUAAUAUGUUGAAAACAUAAAUCAUCUCUCUCUUAAAGGAUAAAAUUGUAAAAACAAUACUAAUUACAAACAUAUUUAAUACAAAUAUCCACUAUCUUAAUUCCCGUUAUUUUUUCAAAAGGGCCCUAUAAUUAGGGACGGAGGUAGUAUAAACUACUAUUUUAUUACCAUUUACAUGCUUUUACCAAGACACGAACUUGUGAAUAAUGAUUUAAAUCUUUCAAUUUAACACAAUCCUUUGUUUGAAUUUUUGUUUUGUAUCCCAUUGUUUUGAAAGAUAAUAUGUAGCUAUGAUAUGUGCAAAUGUUCUUAUAUAGAGUUUAAAUCAACCACUUGAUGCAAAAAUCAUAAUGCACGAAAGAAGGAAUAAGCCCAAAAACAAAAAGGCGUGGAAAAAGAAUUACUAAAAUUACAACUAAAUUGAAGUCGAUGAGAAAAUUCACGAAUCAAUGGAAACUGGUUUUUUUUUUCAUACUCCUUUAAACCAUAUCAUAGCAGCAAUAAACUCAAUCAUCAUUUUAUUUCUAAACACCUCUAAAAUAUACCAAUCAAUUAGGUUUUUUUUCUAGCAAGCAUAUUUUCUUCAAUUGAUUUUUCAAAAACUGGUUUGUAAAACAAAUGAAAUCACUGUCUAGUGGCAUUAGUUAGGCAAGAGAAUUAUUUACAAAUGGUAUUUUAUUCAGUUUCAGGAUUCUACAAAGACAAUGUAAAUGUGACAUGUAAAUGAAUAUUUACUUCUAUGAUUCAGUUUUGUUAAUUGGUAUUACACUUUUUAGUGAGAGCUAAAAUUUAUGGUUCGGGUUUUUCUGGUACAAUAUUUAUACAAGAUUGUUGUUAGCUUUAUUAUAUUUUUUUUCUUUCAAGUUUCCCAAAAUGUGUGGCACAUUGUAGAGUUCAUCUUAACACCAGCUAAGCCGAGACAAAAAAAUCUUUUUUUAAAAAAAAAAAAAAAAAAAAAAAAAACACCUUCAGUACUGGAAAUUCAUCCCCAGAAUUUAUUUAUGAUAACCAUAAAGUAUACAAAAAUACUCAAUGAAAUCAAGGAGAAGUUAAGUGGGAAAGACAUAAAAGAAACGCAAACAUGUGUAAAUCACAACCAUGAUACCAUUAAAAACUAAACCAAGUGUAUAUGUCUCACACAGAUCACAAGGUAAGUCUACACACACAAAAAAAAUCCAUCAAAACACAUAGAUGAUAGACUUCCUAUUAGUGUAUUACAUACUUGAACUAGUAAACUGUUAACUCAUCCCCAAUCAAGACUUCCAAACUAAAAUCUUAAUCUUCGGCAAAUUACGGUUAACUUUCAAAUUGUUGAGUUCAACGAAUUGCUAUGUUAUGUAAAACCGGUUCCCUUUCAAAUUGUUGGUAUGGUAAGGUUAGUAUUUUCAAGUGAAUCAUAAUUGUUGCACCCAUCAGAUAUAAGCAAGUUUUUAUUAAAUGAGAAGAAAUAGUCUUAUUGGGAGUUUAUAAGUAUAUAAGAAAUUUUUAAACAAGUUUUUAUUAAAAAAUGCAAUCACUUUCAUAAUUUAAAUUAAAUUGUAUUUUUAAAUUAAAAAUUACUUCUAAAAUGCUUAUGAACUUGUUCUAAUUUCGGUGUCACCUAUUUCAGAACUGGUUAAAAUGCUUUCCCGGAACUGGAUGAGAUCAAAAUCAUUGGGAUAUGGAUAUGCAAUAUCACAUUAGUGGACUAACCCUCUAGCUUGUUUAGGAACUUGUUCUAAUUUCAGGGAUGGUUACAAUCAUUACUUCUAAAGUGGUCGUCAGGUAAUACAAUGUUUUGAAAGUGUUGGAGUUGUGGUGAUAUGAUUGGCGUGCCUUUUGAUGAAUUUGGAGAAGAAAUUCAGCUUUUAGGGAGAACUUGCUUUCAGCAUAUCUGUUGUAUUUUGCUUCUGUGGAAUAAACAAUGAGUUUAGUGUGAGUUUAGUGUUGGUGUGUGGUCCUUGUGUAAUCAGUCAGUUGCUUAGUCUGCUCGGGAGUGUAGGAGGGCCUGGGGCGGAUUUAUUGCACAAUGUAGUGGGUGCGUAGUUAAAAUAUUAAAGCACCUCUUUGCAAGAGGCAGCAUUGAUGUUGGUUGUCAAGUCUAAAUCUGCAAUAUUCUGCAUGUUCUGUAUGGGGUUAUGCUUUAUCACUUCUGUGUCGGAGAGUUUGGAGGCUUUCUCAUGAUGUUUAGUGGCAUAUGCACGAACAAGCAAGCAACUUGCAGUAGCAAAUCAUUCCCACUUAGCACGAACUUUCACUUUUCAUGAUGAAUUACUAACAUUAGGCUCAACUUGCUUAACAAUGGCUUGAGAAAGAACAUGAGAGGUACAUCAUAGUCAUAUCAUGAACAAAUUAUGUUUUAGAAUAUUGCAAAUUUCUGUUACUCUAAUUGAAAUCCAAACCAUCACCACUUAUCUCAACGCCCUUAAUUUAACUACUAUUGCUUGUCAUCUUGAGGCAUUGAAUUGAGGCAUGUGUUUGCAAAUAUCUGAAUUGAAUUUGAACAUUUCAAACAACUCCACAAGUUUGUUAUCUAAAUGUAACAAUGAUGUUAAUAUCUAAAUGCAACUAAUAUUGGUAACAAUAAAUUCAGGUUUAAAUUUUUUGAAUCUGGAUAAAUGUUUUUCCUUAGGACUUGGCCAUUGCAAGGAUACUUACAGCUUGACAACCUAGCUAACAUUGGCCACUAAAAAAGAUUUGUAGAUUUUAUUAUUGCAUGGUGUAUUGAUUCUUGGGAUAUUGCAGUCCCAAAAAUUGAUUAAUUUUAUUAAAUUAAAAUCAAUUUUUUGUAACAACAAUAUAGCAAAAAUCAAUAUACCAACCAAGUGGACGACACAAAGUAAUUGGGUCCAAGUAGCUACAAUGAAUUGUAACAUAGACGAAUACUAUUUUAUAAGUAAACUAGGUGUGUGAUGUAAGUUUUUAUCGAUGUGGGACUCUCAAGAGUGCUAUAAAGUGGGUGGAACUUUCUUUCUCUCGUUUUUUUCGCCAAGAUGUAUGUUCUUUUUCAUUCUCAAUUCAAUUUAAUUCUCUUUUCUUAGUAUUAUUAUUAUCUCAAUACUUAUAUAGGUUCAUUUAUUCAGUAUAGAAACUAUAAGCCUUUUCAUUAUCCCAUUGAUUUAAGUCAUGGCAUUUUAUAUCAAACCAGAUCCAAAGUUUCUAGCUAUUUUUUUGGUCUUUGUGCAGAGAAUAUGUUAGAAUGAUGAUGAUACUUUUUUAGAUGCACAUGAAGCACCGUCGCAUUUAACAAAACCAUUUUAAAUACAUUAUGUAUUUCCCAUGAUCAUAUUAUAUGGUCCAAGUCUUCAACUUAAGUAACUAGCACAAAUAGAGAGAUGACGUCGUACGAGGAAGAAGAUGCAGCAAUGACGGGGUUACAAAUGGCAGCCAAAAGCAGCGACCGCAUGGAAUAUUAACGCUCUAUAAGGUGGAGACAGCAUUGGGGUUAUGUCACAGAAGCCGACGAUCCUUUUAAUAUUGGUGAUCUUCUUAAAUGCAUAUGUAUUCAACAAACAUCAAAGACCUAGCAGGAAUAGAGGAACUGUCACCACUGAUAUAGUUGACAAGAGCUUCUUGGAGCAUGUGGUUGAGAUAUGAGAUGCAAGAACUUGUAUUCUUUUUUGUUCUAUCUAAGUUAGGUUUGGCAAAAUUCUGACAUUACAUCUUGGGCCACAAAUUCAUCGUCCGGACUGAUGAGAAGAGUCUGAAGGCACUUACGGACAAAACUACUCAAACACCUGCGCAACAAAGGUGGCUUCACAUGUUACCUGGCUUUGAUUUUGUGAUUGAAUAUAAACCCGACAGAGACAAUAUAGCAUCCGAUUCUGUAUCCCGCUCAUUCAUGAUGGCUUUUUCAAACUAACAAUCUCUAUUGCUGCAACAAAUGCAUCAGGCCAUUGCUGCUGAUGUUAAUUUAUCUUCUUUAAAGACACAAUGUGCAGAUGGUACACAACUUGAUUCACAUUAUCAGGUGCAGCAUGACUUGCAUUUAAUGUUAAUUCCCUCGGUAGCUUUCUUUAUUUACAGCCUAUUUCCCUUUGUAAUGUGAUAUAUAAGAUGAUAUCGAAUUUGUUUGCUAAUAGAUUGGAGGGGUGCCUAGAUAAAUGUGUAUCCUUGGAGCAAUCAGCCUUUACUGAAGGAAGCUCGAUUAUGGAUAACGCACUUAUUGCUCUAGAAAGUAUCCUUGCUAUGAAAAGGAAGAUGGAGGGGUAAGCUAGCCCUCAAAAUUGAUAUCAAUAAAGCUUAUGAUCGUGUUGAUCUCGAACGGAUGGGAUUUGAUGAUAAGUGGAUUCAAUGAAAAUAAUUAUUUAAAAAUCAAAUUAUUCAUAAAUAAUCUAGCAAGCCAACUCAGAUUUUUAAGAAAAAAAAUUGAAAAAGGACCAACCUUUUAAUGAUAAAGAAGAUAAAAGAUAAGAUAAAGGAACCAAGUGAGAAAAAAAAAUAAAGGGCAAUAAGAUUUUUAAGAAUUAAUUAAACAUAAAAUUUUGAAAUGACAAAUAACAAAAACAUAUUUCUGAAAGGAGAGACAAUAAGAUUUUUAUUUGGUUUAAUUAUAUACAGUCAUCAUUGUUGAUGUGUUUUGGUUCUACAAAACUGACAUUUAUUUAAAAAUGCAAUCACUUGUAAUUCCCAAAAACAACCAAAACAAUGACCUAUUAUAAAAUGGUCAAAACUUUGGGACAACAAAAGUAUUAGAUUGGGUCCCCAACUAUGUGUUAAUAAGUGAUGUACACUCUUAUUUUAUAAGUAAAACUUAGUGCCUAUUUUAACGUAUACUCGAUGUGGGACUUGUUGUGGUAUAUUACAUACCUUAAGAGAAAACCAAAGCACAAGGUUACAGCAGAAGAAUAAACUCCAAUAUCUAAAGGAAAUAAGUGUCACACACAUUUAUUUCACUUAUAUAUAGAAAUAAGUAUCUCACAUGUUCUCUCUACAAAGAUGAUUCAUUCAAGAUUCCAUCAUUAUUUUAAAAAUAUAAGUGUGAAAGCUUCUGUCAAUCAUGCAUACUUCUUUGCUGAUGAAUUCUUUAUACUGAUAAUUAUAGUGAUCUGGGUUUCUUUCUGGUUAUAGUGAUUGUACGCGGUGUUAGUGAUUGAAGUACAAUAUUUUUAGCAUGUCUUAGUUUCUUAGUUUAGCACAUACCAAUAUAAUAAUGAAUUAUGGUACGAAGUAUUUGUCACAUGCCAGUUUCAAUAGAAAAAAGGCUUGAAAUGGUGAGAUUUCUGUGGAUUUUUACAGUGAAAUGGUUAUGAUUCCUUCUCGUAUGAAAGCAAAUCUCGUCUAACAGUGAUCUCCUGCUGACAACCCACUUCACCGGAUCAACAACUGAUAUCAUCUUCCUUGCUUGGAACACAGUACACGCCUACACGGUUACCUAGAACAGUCAGGGUUGGAGAUUGAUCCUCGUCUGCUGAAGAAGAGAGUGGAGGAAUCUGAGUAGGAAGAGUUCCAUGAUACAUCUUGAGCUUCGUGAUGUGAAAUACAGGGUGAAUCCAAGCAUCCGACAUUAAGAGAAGUUCGUAGGCCACGGGGCCAAGGGCACGCAUGACCUGAUAAAAGUAUUGAAGUAUGAUUGCAUUCUCUUGGUUAAGAAAAUUUCGUUAGACUUUAUUCCAGCAAGAUGAUAUGAGGUAGAUUAUGCUCAAAACAGUAUUAAUUUUGAGAGCACUAUUUAGCUACUACAAUUCUCGAUAUCAUAUGAUUCAAUAAGGUAAGUAUCAGCUUUAACAUCUACUCUUCCUACAGGUUCAAUAUUUUUUAAAACACCUUUUUACUGUGUUUUGAUUUUUAGCAACUAACCUACACUGAAAUGAUUCUGAUGCAAGCAUUAGUACGUUUUAUCUCUAAGAUGGUUUGUGUGAUACAAUUAUGACCUACAAUACUAAUAUAGGGCAUGAUAUUGGCCACCCACCACUUUUCUUAGCAACAUCCCCGCAUUCGAGAUAAUAGAUUGAAGAUCCGUAUAACUUUUUUCCGAGGCAUAUUCUUUUUCAUUCCUCUCCUCACUAGUAUAAGACAUGUCUUUAAUCCCCACUGUGAUUGUAGGAAUAGGACCACUUUCAAUCCAACUGCUUUUGAACAACAGAGCUCUUCGAUUGUGAUGUCUCUUCUGAUAUUCAUAUUUCUCUGAAUAGGGGAAUCUUAGGCGGUGAGGAGCUGAAUUGUGUUGGAGGUUGUGGUGAGCAAGAAAAAACAUUGCAUUAAUUUUUUAGCGUUGUUAUCUUUUUAAGGUGUGGUUGGAUUUGGCCCAUUGGAUGAGGAUUAAGGCAGUAUACCAUAAGAAUUGUAGUUAUCAUCUCAAUUCUUUCUUCAGAAUUGUCCAAGCUAGAAAAGAGACAUAAUUGGGUCUAUGGAGUACUUGGAUAAAAAAAAAAAUCGACUGAUACUAUUUUGAAACAGGUUAGAAUGCUUUUCUGUUUUAGAUAUACAAUAUCGCAGUGGUGGACUAAACCUUUAGUUUGUUUAGGACUUGGCAUCGAGUCAGAAGACUAGGGGAGGUUUUGUGUAAAUAUCUCGUAUCUGACUCAGGCUGGCAUUGUAGUCAGGGAUAGUUAAAAUCAUUACUUCUGAAGUGGGAGGAAGGCAAUGCAAUGUCUUGAAGUUUUUUGGAGUGGUUGUGGUGUGAUAAGUCAGCGUAUCUGGUGUAUUUUUCUUUUGGGUUUUAAACAACGAGUUUAGUGUUGAUGCGUUGUGCUUGUGUAGUCACUCAUUGCGUAGACUGCUCCAGACUGUAGGAGGGCUUGAUUCUGGUCUUCUUGUGGAGAGCCUGAGACGGUUUUGUUGCGCAAUGUAGUGGGGGCACUCCCUUUGAAGCAGGUGAUUUUUGCAUGAAGCUUGGUGAUAAAGGUGCGUAACCGAAAUAUUGAAGCAUUUCUUAGCAAGAGGCAGCUUUGGCGAGAAAUUAGUCUAGCUUUGAUUGAUGUUGGUUGUCAAGCCUAAACCUGCAAUAUUCGUAGGUUCAUCAAAUUUCAAAGCACAUUUCAUUUCAGAGUCAAAAGUUAACAACAAUUUCAUGUUUAGAUCUUGUUUCUCCUAGGAAGAUUUCCAUUGUUACGCCACAUUCAUAGCGCACCGAAUUUAGAUUUUCAAUCAUAUCGACAAUGACAUGCAAGGUUUGGUUCUCUAGGUGGUAGCAUUUAGCAUGCACAAAUUAUAAAUUUGUGCACCAUGCACAAGUUACUUUCUCUUUCAUUGAUAACCAUUGAUAUAAUAUUAUUAUAUAUGAACGGUUCAUAUCAAAAACUGGUUACGUGUUACCAACUUUUUGUCACUAUACCUACAACAAAAAUAAUGACCCCACCUCCGCAUUGUUUAUAAUAAAAGUUGGAAAUAAGUUUUUAUGUGUUACAAAUUAUUUUAACCGUGUAAAUUCAGCUUUCUUUUUAAUAGGAUUAUUUCUUUGAUUAACGAAAAAUAAACUAUUAAAUUGUAAGAAAAACUAUUAAUAUUAUUCAUAUGUUCUUUAAACAAAUCUUCAUAUUCAUCAAUGUUUUCUUCCUAAAAAUUAGGAUCUUUAGGAAAACCACCUUAACAGUACCACAUCCUUUUCUUAAUAUUUGCAUCCUCUUAUAAAUCAGGAUUAUUCAGAAUCAUUUUAAAAUUGUUUGACAAGAUUAUUUAGAAUUACUCUGUUUCAAUUUGCCACAACUUCCUAAAGCUGUUCACUUGGGAGGAGCUUUCUCGUUUUUUUUUUUUUUUUUUUGCAAAGAAGCAUGCGUACAUCUUAGAGAAGAAAAUUAAACCAUUUUUACUGCCCAAAAAAAUAAAAACUGAAAUAUUUCGCUACAGUAUACGUUAGUAAUUUAGGCUCUGUUUGGUAAAAAUAGCUUUUAGCUGAUAAGCUAGCUGAUAACUUUUAGCUUAUAAGCUAACUGAAGUGUUUGGUAAAAAUAGCGGUUCAACUAGCUGAUAAAUGUAAAAUGACAUAAAGGGUAUUCUUAAUUCAUAAUAAAAAUUAUAUCAUUAAUUUAAGUAUUUGUAAUUUUGUAAACUAAUUUUUCUUUAAAAAAAAAUACUUUAAAUUUAUUAAUUUAAUAUAUCCUAUGUAUUAUAAAUUAAAUUAAAUUUUAUUCACUAAAAUUUUAUCUUAUAUUUAUUAUCAUUUAAAUGUUUCUACUUUAUAAAGAAAAUAACAUUUACCUCAAAAACAAAAAAAAAAGGUAGCACUAAUAGAGUAAUACUAAUAAUAGAGAAUAAAGAAAAUAACACUUACCUCAAAAAAAUAAAAAUAAAAAGUAACACUAAUAGAAUAAUAGUAUUUUGUUUCGUAAAAAAAAACGAAGGUAUAUAUUUUUUCAAAAAAAAAAAAAAAGGUCAGCUGAUAUAUAUACAAAAAUUGGAAUAAAGGGAUAGUAGUCUUUAUUACGUAGCUUAUUAUAAAAAUUAUAAUGGAUAAAAAUACAAUUUAAAUGAAAUAAUAAGGGUAAAAUUGGAAGAAAAAGUGAGAAGCUAUAAGCUCAAACGCUACUUGGAAUAGCUUCUGAAAAAUAGCUUAUAAGCUCGUGAAAUAAGCUAUAAGCUCAUGGUGAAAAAGUGUUACCAAACAGAGCUUUUUUUGUCAAACGAGCUUAUAAGCUAUAAGCUAAAAGCUAAAAGCUCUUAUUUUGGGUUUACCAAACAGAGCCUUAGUAUAUUAAAUGCUGAACCCACCAGCCGUACCAUCGUCCUUCCUUUUUUUUUUGUUUACAAAGCUAAAGUAAAAGAGAAAGAAAAGAAACAAAAAGACAGAAAAAAAAAAAAGAAAAGCCUAAGCUCUAGGGAAGAAAGUUCUCAUGGCGUCGCUUCUAAUCAAAGGGAGUAAGUCGGUCGGAGGAGUAGCAUGAAUAGAAAGAUCUUCAUUGGAGUUGGCCCCAUGCUUCGCCAUGAAGUCGGCGCAUUGAUUUCCUUCACGGAGGCAAUGAUGAAUGUUGAAGUUUCUUGAGGACAAGAGAUCUUUUAUAUCAUGGAUUAAAACCGCAUAAACAUGGUAACUUGGAACAUGACCAAUGAUGAGUCUUAUGGAGAGCAGAGAAUCUGAAUAGCACACCAAAUCUUCUAUGCCCAUUGCCACUGCUAGACGUAGACCUUGUUGAAUUGCGGUGAGCUCGGCAAACAAGAUGUCAGUUGAUAUAGGGAUGAAUCCGAAGAAUCCCGAGAGGUAGUAACCUGCAGAAUUACGGAUAAUCCCACCGAACCCCGCUCGUAUAGGUACACCUAAACAACUACCGUCCACAUUAAGCAUGUGACCGUUGCAGCUUUCUUGAUUCCAUCGAACCAUGCGGUCUUGUUGUAAGGUAGAAACAGUUUGGAAAGCGGUCUCGAUGGAAUUUGCUGUGUCGUGAAUAAGAAAGCUCAACUGAGUGAGAGACCAAGUUUCAUGAUUUAGGCACAUCAAAUUACGGUGUCGCCAUGUCCACCAUAGGCCAGCAAGGAAGGUGGAGGGACGAGUGCCGUUUGCAUUAUUUUUUAACCAAUUAUGCACACAGCUUUCCGUAAAGAACUCUUGGUCAAUGAAACCGAUAUUAUGCCAGAUUACGGAAGAGAACCUGCAGUCCCGAAUACAGUGCAAGAUGGUUUCCUCACUUUCGCCGCAUCUCGAACAGGUAGCAACAGGUGAUAUGUUAUGGUGCUGCAGCAGUGAUAGCGUAGGCAUAGCAUUGUGACACGCAAGCCAAAUAAGCAGCUUGACUUUUUCAGGACUCUUCAAUCUCCAUAUCCAAGACCAAGAUAAAUUAGUUGGGGUAUAUGAAGAGGGAUUCGAGUUUUGCAGCAGCCAAGCGUACCCACUUUUGGUCGUGUAAGCGCCGUUUUUGUUGUGGCUCCAUAUGAGAGCAUCAUCCACCAUUUCAUUGAAAUUCAUAUGAGUGUUAUUUAUGUAAUCAGCUAUUUCCUAAGGGAGAGUAGUAUAGAGAGCCUGAGUUUGCUGCCCGUCGAAAGUGAAAACAUAUAUUUAGAAUAUAAAUAUAAAAAUCAUUUUAUUAAUUGAAACAUAUAUAAAGGACUUAAAGGAUUGUACCAAAAAAAAAAAAAGACUUAAAGGAUUGCGGAGUAAUUUUGCCUUAAAUCUAUGUUAAAUUUUUUUUUUUUUUUUUAGAUUUAAAAAAAUUUAUAAUUUUUUUUUAUAAUGUUGUGAACAUAAUGACUAUAUGUAAUGUUUGCAAAGAUUAUUUGAAAGUCUACGGACACUUAAUUUUUUUUACACAAAUUUGAAUUUGAAUUUAAAAGUCAUUAGAAUUGUGUGCACAACGAUUCAAACAUACCCACUUUUCUUACGACGAUGGAAGAAAUAAUUUGCGAUAUGUUAUAAGGAUAAUUUUUUUAUUUAAUCCAGUAAAAAAUAUAUGAAUUAGUUGGAGAUGAGUUUCCUAACUUAAUGAAAAUAAGCUAUAUCAAGAAAAUUUAAAACUUGUUGAACCUUUAGCAUUAAAUAAAAUAAAAAAACUUGUUGAACUUUCAAACCAUGUCAAGAUAAUGCGAAAGUAAGUGUUAUAACUAUGUUUAAACUUUGAAGUGCAUCCAGAAUUCAGAUCAUGUAAAGUGAAGAGCUUUCCCAAUUAGGACUCUUCACUUUGUCCUGAUUGACUUCAAAAAUGAGUCCUGAUAAUGGUAAGAAUUUAAUAAAUUGGGGUACAAAAUGAGUCCUGAUUGACAAUGCUUUUGUCUAACAUUGUAAUUACCAAAAACUUAUUUAACUAUAUAAAAGAUGAUAUGAAUUCAAACCAAGAUGGGUCAUUGUUGAGGUUCACCAAUGUUUGGGUUCUAUAUUAAGGGCUGCUAAUUUACACACGCACCUAGAAACAUAGGGAUUAACUUAGACCAUUGUUAAACAAGUGAAUCUAAUGCUAGUAAUUGGUCUAUAAACUUCUCUUUUUUUUUAUAAACUCAUUUGAUUCUUGGGAGGAUGCAAUCGAUUGUUCAAAAGUUCAUGCUAAAAUGGUAAGAAUUUAAUAAAUUGGGCUAUAAAAUGAGUCAUUGAUCGAUGAUACUUUUACCUAACAUUACCAAAAAAACGUAUUUAACUAAAUAAAAGAUGAUAUGAAUUAAAUUCGACGUUCACCAAUGGACCCUUUAGUUUGGUGUCUAUUACUAUAUUAGGGGGGCUGCUAUAUCAAGUCGGAUGAUAAUGAUAUUUACAAUUUAUGAUUUGGAAGAUCUUUAUUUCCCUUGAAUUUAAUUGACCAAAUUGUGAAAUUAUUUACCAAAUUAACUCACAUGAUCUACUACAAUUUAAAUGCCAAAGUGUAAGGGAGAGAAACAACAUGAAUCUUGAACUAUAUAUGCCAACAUGAAAUCCAAAUUUAUAGUUGAUACUCCUAAAAUUCAAUACAAGCAAACAAUCUAAAUGGCGAAACCAUGAAGCAUGAAGCAUUUAAUAUUGUUGGGGACUCAAUCUCAUAUUGUUGUUGUCCCCAUGAUUUGACUAUUUUAUAAUGAUUAUUGUUGUGUUGUUCUUUGCUAUUACAAGUGAUUGCAUAAUUAUGUAAAUGCUUCUAUUGUAAUGGUAAAGGAUAAAUGCAACAAUGAUUGUAUAUAAUUAAAUCAACUAAAAAUUAAAUUUUAUGAUAUUUUUGGUAUAGUCCUUAUACUUAAUUAUCUUAAUUUGACUUGUUAUUCUAGAGGCCCUUUAUUUUUUUGGCUAAAUUGAAUAUGCAUCUUAUUUGAUCUCUUAAAUAUGCAUCUGUUGGUCUCAAUCUGUUAAUUUUAACCCAAAAUGUAUAAAGUGUAACAAAAUUAUAGAUGGUCCACUCUAAAUCUUAUUAAUCUAUUUAAUUUUAAUCAUUUGAUCAUUUUAAAACAAAAUAAAUCAUUUCAUCAUACAAGACCAUUAAAUCUAAUAAUAAACCACUAAGAGUAUCUACAAUAGAGACAUCCAUUUUUUUUUCUUAAAUGGAUCCCACUAAUUAACUAUAAAUAAUUUUAUAUCAUUAAUAUCAAUUUUUUAAUAUUAACAGGAGUGAGGGUCCUCUUGUCAAAAAAAAAAAAAAAAGUGAGGGUCCCGCUUAAAAGUGGAGGUGUUAAGUAAGAUCACGGAUCUUAUAAGACUUUAAAAAAGAUUCUCUCCAAUAAAGUACCUAAUAGAUAACGGGUCUUAAAUGGUUAAGACCCUUCCAUUGAAGAUGGUCUAACACAAUUUUUCUUCCAUUUUCUUUCUCUUCUAGCUUCUAUUUCUUCGUCAUCUUCAUCAACUUAAAAAAAAAUAAAAAAAUAAUCCAGACAAAAAAAUCCAAACACCGAAGCAUUAAAUCACUACACGACCAUCUUCGUCUUAAUCUCUUAUCUAACUACAGGGUCAUCUUCAACUUCUUCUCUUCAUACCUUCCCAUAAUUAGAAAAAGCCAGAAGAAAAAAAAAAUCCAAUUUUGCCAAACCAUGUCCUCUAAGGAAAUUAAAUAUACAAUUUUGCCCAACCUAAACACCAAAACACUAAUUUGUUGUAUAUUUUAGUGGUUUGUUCACACACUCUAUGGGAAUUAAAUAUACAAUUUUGGUUUUUUUUUCUUUUUCUUUCUAACUUGAGUCCUUUAUCUUCUUAAUAAUUAAAAGGUUGGUACUAUUUCAAAAAAAUUCUUAAAAAACUGCGAGGUGUCAUGCCAUGUCAGAUUAUUUAUUAAUAAUUUGAUUUUUAAAUAAUUAUUUUAAUUGAAAAAACCAACCCAUAAAUAAUAAAUAAUUUUCUUCAAAUCAUCAAUAUCAUCCUCUUUUUCUUCAAACCCAUAAAAUUCAAUCAAAAUCCCAAACCUCCAAAUCGUAUUGUCUCAAAUAAAAAUCUAGAAAACACCAACAUUACAUAUCUUCAUCAACUUUUCUCUUAACAUUCAUACUUUCAUGCAUAGAGAAUUCUAUGUUCUUCAAAUCUGAAAAGAAGCUAAUUCUAUUCAUAAAUGAAAAACUACAUUAGUAAAACGAUCAAAGAAAUCAAACCUUGGAUCGCGGCAAAAGCUCCACACAAAUGGUUCAGAUUUUCAUUUUGGGUUAUAUAGAGAAAGAGAGGUAAACUAAUACUAAGUUACUAACAUUGAAAAUUUAUUCGUUGUGGGCUAUGUAUUUAUUUGUGGUCCUUAUGAUAAAUAAAAUAUUUUUGGCUUGGCAAUAAUGGAAACUACUUAAAAAAUCCAUACAAUACAUGCUGAAAUUAGGGAUAGUGUGAAAUUGAUCAAUUUGGUAUCUAUAAUUCCCUUCUGAAGCCGUUUUCAAGAAGUAUAUACUCACUAAUGCUUUCUCCUCCACCACAUUAUUUCUUCUAUAUAUAUAAAUAAUAUGAAGUUCCAAGGAGAAAAAACAAAUAAACAUAUUUGUUGUCUUGGCUUUAUUUAAAUAGAAAAAACACUAUCCCCGUGAGCUUAGUUCAGUUGAUAGGGAUAUUACAUAUUAUAUGCAGGGGCCGGAGUUCGAAUCCCGGACACCCCACUUCUCCACAUUAAAAUGUGUGAGCUCUAGCCAUUAUGCUACUAGACAAAAAAAAUAAAAAAAUAGAAAACAUUAUAACAUUCAUGCAGGGGAAUUAUUAAGAUUGGUCUGAUGAUUUGAUCACACAAAUAUGAUUUGAUCAUACAAAUCUAGUUAGGAUAUUAAAACUGAGUAGUAGCAGGAAGAAGAACCUAUAAGGAUAUAACAAUCCAGAAAAAGAUUUACCUAUAACAAAGACCCUUGUAUACUUCCAUUCAAUAAAACAAACCGUUUGGAUUCAAUAUUUCCCUAAGGUAACGGUACAUUAAUCAUUUGUGUUAAUUAUGGGUGAUUGAUUUUUACAAGGUUUAUUGAUUCGGAAAUUAAAUGUUUUUAACAUUUAACUUUAAUCUCGGUACAUCUAAACCUUUCAAAAAUCAAAUCACCUAAACAACCUCAAUUUUUUAUUUUAUUUUUAAAUCACCUAUGUUGCCCAAGUCUUUGUAAUAGAAGACUUGUAAAUUACUUUCUUUAUUCCAUGACAUAAAAAAUGAGAAAGAUAAAUUAAAUAAUUGAAAAAAUAUAUAAUAAUAGAUAAUUAUUAAGGGUAUAAAAGAAAAAAUAACAUUGAAUGUAUCUUUAUAAAAAGAUUUAUAAUUUGAGGCAAUUUUUCUUCUUCAAAAUGACUUAUAAAUUAGGACGGAGGGAAAUAUGUUGUACCAAGUAAAAAUAUGAUAUAUGAUAGAUUAUUAUGUAGUUUGAUUUAUGUAACACAACCUUUAGCAGCAUAAUGCAGUUGACCCAUCAUCGCAAGGACAGACCUAGAAAUUUUAACUAGCCUAGGUAACACAUAUAUAUCAAGGCAUAAAUAUUCAUUUUAUAUGAUGAGCAUCAACAACUACUACUUCUAAUCAAAGAGAAUCUAUUUAAAUAAUGAUUAUACUAUAUGUUCCAACUAAGUUCUGAUGGUGAGAUGAAAAAAUAGCUAGAAAGUUGUUAUAAAUAUAGAGUUAUAUUGAGUUUUCUUCACCCCGAACAUCCCUAGUCUACUGGUUGUACUUGGGGCUUGGGUAGUUGUGUGUCUUGAGAGAGUUUACAACUUUUCCGUGCAAAAUCAAACUCAUUUUAUCUAACUAACAUUUGUGAAAUAGAAAAUGUCAUUUGCAUCUAACUAGGCUGUGUUAAAGGAUAUAAUGAUGUGAUCUAAAAAAUGUAAUUCUAUCCAAAAAUUUCUUUUAUCAUUAAAAUGAACAGCAUUUCAUUUUGACAUAUAAUGUUGAUAUUGAAUGGUUCAAAAUAAUUUACUCUAAUGGUGCUGACAACUAGCUUGUAGUUUUCCAUCAUCUUAUUUAGUCUCUUCAACUAUAUGAGUGCUGAUAGUUUCAGUAUUUCUGCUAGGUCUUUGAUAUCCCUUGAAGUCACUGCUUCGGGAUGCUCCUGCGUUCAUAACCUUGUCAUCGUUGCAUUCGCUUCCUUGAACACCACCGUCUCUCUAUUUGUGCAAGUCACGUAAGUUGAAGACUUGGACCAUAUAAUAUGAUAAUGGUAAAUACAUAAUGCAUUUAAAAUGAUUUUGUUAAAUGUGAUAGUGUUUCAUGUGCAUCUAAAAAAGUAUCAUCGUCACUGUCACAUACAUAAGAGGUGCACUGGUGUUGAAAUUCCUCUCAGACGUCUUCUUAAUAUAAGGUCUAAAAAAUAAUAUACAAAUUCUCAGCAUACGAAUACCUAUAAACAACAAGAAACUUUGGAUCUGUUUUGAGAUAAAAAGGUUAAUGGGAUAAUGAAAAUAUAUAAGCAUCUUCAUCCAAUUGGGACCCACCAUUGAGAUGAUAAUAAUACUAGGAAAAGAUAACUGAAUUGAGAAUGAAGAAUAAAUAUCUUGGAGAAAAAAACGAGCGAGUAGGAGAAAGAAGUUAUAACCACCUUGUAGCACUCUUCUUGAGUCCCACAUCGAUGAAUACUUAAAAUCAUACACCAAAGUUUACCUAUAAAAUAAUAUUAGUCUAUAUCUAUACUUCAUAUUAGUGUAACCGUUUGGAACCUAUUACUUUGUGUUCUUCAAUUAGAUUUUUCUUCAAACUUCCAAAAAAACAUUAAGUGGACAAAUCUUCUUUUUGAAGUCAAUUAGAUUUUUCUUCAAACUUCCGAAAAAACAUUACUCCCUUCAUCCCAUAAGAAAAAAAAAAAGCAUAUUUUUUUUCCUAAAAUAUAAGCAAAAAAGAAUUUAUUUUUUUUUUAGAUUUUUUUUGUUUAUUCUUAUAAAAUUAAAUGCAAAUUACAUUCAAUUUCUUUCUCUUUCAUUUUUUCUAUAAUCAAUAGUCAAUAAAAAUCAUUUUUACAUUUUCUUAUAAAUUUUUUUUCAAAGAAAACACAAAAAACUAUACAUUAUUAGAAAGAAAUAAAAUAAAAAACGAGUUAAAUAAAUUUUGGGUCCUAUAAAAAUCUUCAAAGUUUACAAUUCUAACUUGUGAACAUGGCUUGUUAUAUAGUUUAAGAUGUUUUCAUCUUGUAGUAUUCCUAAUUUUUUUUUUCUUUCUAAAACCAGGUAUCCUCUGCGCGCAAUUACAGAGACUAAUCUCUCGAAUAUUGUGGGAAUCAAAUGGACGGUAAGCUCUCCCAAAGAGUUUUAACGCUGUUGCAUGUCCAAUGCUGGAUUCGAACUCAGAACCUUAGUUAAGUUAGAAGAGACCCAUUUCAUCUCAUCUAAACGCUAUUGGAUAGUAGCAUUCCAAAUUAGUUCAAGUCUUAAAGUUUUCAAUCGCAAGAUUACUUAUAAAAUAUUGUAACAUAUGUUAUCAAAAUUAGAUGCCAUAAAUGUGUUCAGUGUAAUAAACUGUUAUCAAAAUCAAAAUCAGGGUAGUAAUUAAAAAGUUAAGCAAAUCCAAACACACUUUAUCUAACUAACAUUUGUGCAAUAGAAAAUGUCAUCUGCACAGAGGCUGUGUUAAAGGAUAUAAUAUAAUAAUGUGAUUUUCCAUUAAAAGGAUGUCUUAUUUAUUCUCUUCAACUAUAUGAGUGGUGAUAGUUUCAUGAUUUCUGCUAGGUCUUUGAUGUUUGUUGAAUACAUUAAGAGAAUCAUCGGCUUUUGCAACAUAGCAUGGACGUCAUCACAACCUUGCGCACACAACACAUAGGUCGUUGACCCAUUUGUCAAAUGACUCGAGUUGUAGCCAUGAUUCGGUUCUAUAAAUACCAAAAAGGCUAAGUUUUUUUCAAUCAUUCACUUAACUUAAAGAAUAUUUGGCGUUAAGUAUUUUGUCUAAGUUUACCAUUAUUAUGACUACCAAAGAACAUUUGACAUGUAGGCUUUGAGUAAUUUAUGUAUAUGUAUUUUGCGGACUUUGAACUUUAAGUCAUUUAUGACUAUGCAAUUUAUAACAUGUAUUUAGCUUUACUUUUGUUUUGUUAGAAUCCUCGAUUUUGAUUGCGAUUUUACGAUUUACGAUUUUGCUAUCCUACAUCUAUUGUACAAAAGUCCUUUAGUAAAAUCUUUUGAUUUUGAUUGCGGUUUUACGAAUCUCGAUUUUGCUAUUCCCUUUCGACCUGAAGUAAAGUCCUGAUUUUGACACCUUGCUAAAGAAUAAUAUAUACAAACUUUGGGUCUAUUUUGAUAUAAAAAGCCAUGACUUAAAAUAUUUGUAUCUGUUUGGACCCAAUUAUAUUGUGUUGUCCGCUUGGUGUAUUAUGAUAUUUGCUAUAAUAUUUGUUCAAAAAUAAAAUUGAUUCUAAUUAAUUAAUUUUUUGGGCAAAGAUUGUUGCAAAGAAUCAAUACAUCAAACAAUAAUUAGAGUCUACAAAUAUUUUAUAAUUGAUCAUUUGGUAUCUAGGCAAGUUACUUUUAAAAUGUGCGAGGUGGAAGAUUAUAUCCCAAAUUUUUAUGCUCCAUGGAUGCGAUAUAGAGCUUCUAUUUCGAGUGAAGGGCGCCAAUCAUUACCGGCUAUUCAGCUCAUGAACAAGAAACUUGGAAGCAUCACUCGUGCAAUUGUGCUUCCCAAGGCAAAAUUAUACUCUUGAUACUAUCAUUUGCUCUUUGUUUUCAUAUGAAUAUAUUACAAUGUUAUUAAAUUGGAUGUUCAAAAUCAUAGAUUGGUCAAUGUCAUUUGCGCAAUUGAAAAUAAGGAGAUCAAAACUGCGGUUUUGUCCAAAAAAAAAAGGACGAGAGCUGUAUUAAAGCCUCUAAUGUAUAUAAAAAAGAGUGUUGACACAUGUGCACCCCUAUGUGGCAAUACACCUCUUACACCCACACAAAAUCCUGACAUGUGGCAAGGAAGAGGGAGAGGAGAUGAAAGAGAAAAUGUGGUCGUAAGUUGAAUUUAUCAAAAUAUCCCUAGUGCAUGGGGUGUAUAAUGGGAUGUAUGAUUAAAGGGUGUUCAUGUAACAUUUUCCUAUAAAAAAAUAGAGUAAUGAUACAUAGACACCCUUGUAUACCCCAUGCAUUAGGAAGAGAAAAGAGGAGAGAAAAGAGAAAGUGUACUUUUGCGGGGUCUACGUGACUACGUGUCAGAUUUUUGUGUGGAUGUCAAAGGGUGUAUUGCCACCUAAGGGUGUCUAUUAAUCAUUACUCAAAAAAAUAAGAUGUGAAAUUUUAGCAAUAUUUUAGCCAUGACAAACAAUAAAGUUUUAGGUAUGGAAUACACAUUUAACAGUUGACAACCUUGAUGAUCCAAAAUGUAAUUUAAAUAAGUUUGUCACUCAUAAGGUAAACCUUGAUGAUCCAAAAUGUAAUUUUGUCAACUUAAAAGAACUUAUCAUCAACUGUAACAACAGAGUAUGUCAUCGAUUUUUCAUAUGACUGAAUGGUCCAUGACUACCCAGUAAAUUGAACUCAACUUUUAUAUCUAUAUCUAUAUCUAUAUGUAGUACAAAUUACAAUUCACAGCUUGUAUCAACUUGUGCUUGCAUAUCGGCAUAUCAGCAUGGUACUUAACAAGCGAUGAAAUAACAGUUUCAGUUAAAAAAAAAAAAAAAAAGCAGAACAUUAGAUUCUUGGAGAACCAACCAAUAUUGGUCCGUGACUACCAAGUAAAUUGAACUCAACUUCUAUAUCUAUAUCUAUAUGUAUUGCAAAUUACAACUCUCAGGUUAUAUAAACUUAUACUUGCAGACAUGCUAGGAGAUGAAAUUUGCACAUAACAGUUACAAAAUGGAAAAAUCAACAUAUCAGCAUGGUACUUAACAAGCGUAAACUCAACAUAUUUGAAUGAGUCUAUAGUUGUUAAUUGUCUACUUCCUUUAAUAUUCACUUCAUGCCUCAUACAUACAUCAAUCUAGUACAUAUAUAGCAUCAAGGCUGUGCAUAUGAUAGAAGGAAUCUAAGGCUUUGAGGCUGUUACAACAGAAACGCAAAUUACGGAAGGAAAAGGAAUUAUUGAAAGGGUGAAUCACCAAGUUUCAUAUAUAGCAUUCCCAUUGAAUGAGGACUUGAUGGGGUGAUUCAUCAGAGCUAGCCUUCCAAUAAAGUCAAUAGCCUUCCUGCUGCUUGUUGGAUUUGGAAUUGAAUUAGUAUUUCCUUUAGAUAUUGGAGUAUCUUCGGUCGUAACUUCCGCAUGAGUUUAGACUUGAAACUUCGGUUUUCUCUUCAGGCAUGUAGUAAACAACAACAAAUCCCACAUCGAGUAUGUGUUAAAACAUGUAUGAAUGUUUACCUAUAAAAUAAGGGUGUAUAUCAGAUAUUAAUACAUAUAACAACUAGGACCCAAAUUCAAAUUGUUGUUGUCCCCCAAAAUUUGACUAUUUUAUAACGGAAAAUGUUACAUAGACAUCCUUUAUUUCCAUACACCUUUGUACACCCCAUACAUUAGGAAGAGAGAAGAGUAGAGAAAAGAGAAAGUGUGCUUGUGCAGGGUCCAUGUGGUUACGUGUCAGAUUUUUGUGAGUGUCAAAGGGUGUAUUGCCACCUAAGGAUGUCUAUGUAUCAUAACUCUUUUAUAACAUGUCAUUGUUGUGGUUGUUGUUGGGCUUUACAAGUGAUUGCAUUUUUAAAUGCCUUGUAUUGUAAGAUACAACAACAGUUACAAUAAUGAGUUACAAUAAUGACUGUAUAUAAUUAACCAACUCAUUUUUUUUAGAAUAGUAUCUUUUGCAUUGUGUUGAUAAAAAAAAAUCGUACAAUUAAGAUUUGAAGUCUAAUAUUUAAUUCUCUUAAUUUAACUUGUUAUUUGUCAUUUUAAAAAAUUAUGUUUAAUUGAUUUUAAACAAUAUUACUCCAGAGGUUUUUUAUAUAUUUUUUUCUUACUUGGGUCCUUUAUCUUCUUAUUUUUUAAAUAAAUAUUUUCAUUGAAAAAAAAUACAACCUAGAAAAAAUAAAUAAUUUUCUUCAAAUUCAUCUUCAUAGUCAAUCUUCCUCAUCCUCUUUUUCUUCAAACCUAUAAAAUUCAAUCAAAAUCUUAAAUCUCCACAUUCUAUUGGCUCAAAAAAAAAUCAAGAAAAAACCAAGAUUACAUAUUUUCAUCAACUUCCCUCAAAACAUUCAUCUUCAACCAAAAAUUUGAAGAAAUAAUAUGUAGAUCUAGAACCCACAAAAAACCCUCGAUGCAUUCAUCUCAUUCCACCAAAAUAAAAGUCAUAUCAUUAAACAAAAAAUUCUUCUUCAUUACAAAAAAAAAUGGGUAUGGUGAUGAGAAAACUUUAAUCCUUGCCACAAAAUUGUGCUAAUGAACACGCAUAAUUGGGAAUGAAGUGAUGGUUAACCAAUUUGUAUUGUUGUUAAUUGAUAUGAGUAAUUAUAUUUUAUAGGUUCGAACAAGAUGAUCAAGAGUGAAGAUGAUGAUCAAGGUUUGGGAAAAACUUCACGCAUUAAUUAUAUUUUAUAUUUUAAUUAGGGUUUUCCAACACUUACGUACAAACCUGAAUCGAAGAAGAGAUCUAACAUGAAGAAACAAAAGUACCUAAAGGAUGAGAUAACUGGAGGUGACGGUAAUGGCGUGAUGAAAGUUGACGGCGGCGAUGGUAAUGACGUGAUGAAAGUUGACAGCGAUAUGGUUUGUUAACGGUGACACCGAUGAUAGUUGGUUAGUGAUGACGAUGGAUACGGCGUGAUAACUUGUGGUUUGGUUAAUGCUCCCAUGGUGUGCGUAAUGAAUGAGAUCAAGGGCGUGUUUGGAUGAGAUAGAUGGAUGAUAAUUUGUUGUCUUCGUUUCUCUAUUUCAAACCAUGGGAGAGAGUGAGGAGGAUUGUAACUCCGACGGCAAAGCAACAACGGCCGAUCCAUGGCUCCGAGUCGCUGAACUCGACGACCGAUCCAUGGCUCCAUGUGUAGAUGAUGAUGGCAGAGGAGAGGAUCUAGAAAGGGGGUUGGUGAAGCGAGAGAGGGACAUGGAACAAUGAAGAAAUGGUUGGAUUGAAGUUGAAGAGAUGACACAAAUAAAGUUUGCUUCUUUGGAAAAUGAAAAACAAAUUAACAUGGGAGACAAAGGUAUAAAUGCACUUUGGGGUUUUCCAAAAGGUUGUUGUGAGAUUUGAAUUUCAAAUUCAAAUUUAAUGAGCAUUUUUCCCGCCUAAUGAUUAGGUUUAGGGUUUUCCAAGUAGUAUUUGCAUUGUACUUUAGGAUUCGAUAAUAAGGAUAAGGAUAGGCUUCGGAAUGGCUUAAAUUAGUUAUGUUACGAUGGAGAAAACAGAGUUACAAGUUCCAGUUGUUGAAUAAAAAAAAUCUGCACUAAUGUGGUUGGAAUGUUCAUGUUAUAAUAAUCGGUACAGUGAUCGGAUUGGACGGACAAGUACUGAAGUUUCAUUAGGAUCAGAGACGAGAAGCUUGAAGGUGGUUAGGAAAGUUGGAGCAUUAUUGAACAAGUGGAAUCUUCUUUGGAGCAACCACUCGAUGGAAGUACAUGUAUGCAUUGAAGUCAAGUAAAAGGGAAUUUUGGAAAGCUUUAAGUGGAGCUUAUGUAAAGGUUUGGAUGGCAGUUGUAUCAAACAAAAUCAAGGAUUCCUUAGUUAGUUAACUCUCUCUUUGGGUAGUUUGAAUCAUGUCAUUGAAAUUGUGUUAUUUACUUUUACUUAGUACAAAUGAGGUUUUAAUGGAUAUGCAAGUCAUGAUAAUGUGAAUGAAAUUUUAUAUAAUAUCAAUGAUAUGAAAGUGUUGAUUAUAUGAAUUGGUUCUAGCAAUAAAAUGCUAAGCAAGACAAUUGAUUUAUAUACUUAUAAAAAUGAUGUGAAAGAAAAAUUGAAAUGAGUAACAUGCUCAUAGAAAGAAAAAUAAUAAUAAUAAAAUUGAGAAAACUCUGUUUGCUACAACGAAGAGAUAAUGUAGCCUAUGAGGUAUAGCUCAUAGUAACAAAUGUGAAAACCUCUAUUUGCUACAACGAAGAGAUAAUGUAGCUUAUGAGGUAUGACUCAUAUUAACAAAAUAAAAUAGUUACCGUUCGCCACAACGAAGAACUUUAAGUCGAAAAAAAGGUAUAAUUAAUGACAUGAACAUUAAGACAAGAAAUAUAUAAUUAAUGACAUGAAUGUUAAGCCAAGAAUUAUGAUUAUGAUUAUGAUUAUGAGUAUGUGUAUGAAUAAAAAUAUACAUUAUGAUUGAAUCAUGAUAGUACUCUAGGUAGCGAUCCUAGUUAUCCCCGAUCGCUCAAUUAUAUAUGAUAAAGACUGUAUAAAUCCGAAAUCAUAGUAGUUAAUAGCGGAUAUUGACUACUAUGACUUUAUAAACUCGCCGCUAUUGGCCGCUAUGCCCGAAAUGGGUUGAGUUUAGAACAUAUGUUGAUCCUAGGUUCCUUGAGAUUGCCUACAGCCUAGGAUAGGUGGAACUCACUGAGACAUCAUGUCUCACCCCAAUCCCUUUUAUUUAUUUGAGAUAUUCAAGUUACUAAACGUCAGGGUUCGUGAUGAAGAAGCAGAAGUUGUUGGACCAUAUAAAGUUCACGUCAUUGAUAUUAUUUUAGAGGUAUAAUACGAGAUUUCUAUGUUUUAUUCAGAGAAUUUUUUUAUUGUUGUAAUUUUAAUGUAUCCAAUGCCAAGUUUAACACACAUGCUAGAUAUCCUAGGUAAUUUCUAGUAGGGUGUUUCACAAUUGUCCUUGAAAGAAAAAAAAAUUAAACAAAUGCAACGGUGUAGCUCGUAAUUAUACCAUAUGAAAUACUAAUGCUUGCAUCAAAAUUAUUUCAACCUACGUUAGUAGCAAAAAAUGAAAAUAUGGUAAGGUUCAAGAAAAAGGAGAAAUAAUACAGUAGCGCGCUUGUGUGUACAUGUAAGGCUUCACUCGUUGGGUUUAUUAUGAACAUCAUCCAAAUUUUGAUUAAUGUAAGCUUGUGUUACAUUAAACAAAUUUCAUGCAUUAUUGAAUACAUACGACGCUGAUAGAAAACAACAAAAAUUGGGAGAAAAUAUAUCGUGUAGGAGGAACUUCGCAAAGCUCUAUCAUUCUUCUUCCACUUCCUCAAGUUCAAACAAACGCCACUGACACAGUGGCCGCUGACAGUAGAUACUCUCAACAACUUCUCCCACCCAAAGCUUCAAACAAACAGGAACAAAUGGUUCGUUAAAAAAUUGGUGACUUGUUUUGCAAGUAAGAGUUAUAUUAUGAGUACAUAAAAGCAUGCAUCAUCAACAACUUCCUAGACGAGAUGGUUACCCACAUUCUGUCUUUUCUCCCAAUCAAAUAAGCUUUUAGAACCAAUGUCCUUUCUAAGAGUUGGGUCCCAUUAUGCCACUCACUCUCCAUUAUCUGCAUUGAUGAUAGAAGCUUGUAUCCCAGAAACACAGUGAACUGGGUUCACUUUGGUCGAUUCAUGGACCGUGUCAUUUUUUAUAAAUGGGUUGAAGCAUCAAAACGACGUCAUCUUUAUCUAUCCUUGGUUGAUGUCCAUUCCAUUUGGCACCUACGUACCACCAUUUCCUACUGCAAUACACUUUUGGUUUUGAGACUGAUGAAUAUACAUGUAGUAGCUAUGUUUCAUUGUUCUGUUGAACUUCCUUUUCUCAAAACCCUACGGUUGUGUGAUAUUUAUUUCGAAGUUGAGGAAGAUUUCACGAAACUUCUCUCUAGGUGUCCUGAAUUGGAGUAUUGAAAACCUACAAUUAAUUGAGUCCAUAUAUAGAGUGGUAGGGUUAUGUAAACCCUUAUCCACGUUGAUCAAGGCCGAAAUCAUUUUAUUUGAGGUUCUAUGUAUAGCAGUUUAUUUACGAAGGUUAUGUUAUCAAAGAAGGCCGAAUUAUUUACGAAGGUUAUGUAAACCCUUAUCCCUUAUUCACUUGUAAUUUCCAACAACAAUGACCAACGAUAUAUAUCAAAGAAUUUGGGUGGUCAGAUAUUUACGAAAAGAUUAUAGAUCUUGUUGUUGUUUUAUAGGCAUAUCUUCCCAUAUGUUAUGUACAAAUAUACGUUGUGGGCCUUUUGGCCGAUGUUUGUAUUAUAUUUGCUCUCUUUCUCAUGUUUCGUUUAGUUUCUUUAAAUUAUUCCAAAAUGAACAUUUUAAUAGAUUAGCUAUGACAAGCUUUAUUUUAAGCAUAACAUGUUUAUCCUUUGAACAUCAUUCUAAGGUUAUGUUAUCUUUGGUUAUGUAGGAUCCUAGUCUAAGAAGUAUGUACAGAUGCACAUACAUUGAACACGUCGACACCAAUAAUAAUUUGAGUAAAUAACACAAUUCAAUGUGAUCAUAUGUGUCGAUAUCGUAACAUGAGUGUGACACCGAAUACACCUUCGAUAAAAAAUGUCGUGCUAAAGAGAUCCUAGUGUUGGCAAGAGUACUAUAUCGUUGCAUGUAUGGCAACAAAACUGAAUCUAAAACUACGAUGCUUUUUGUACUGGAGCUAGGGUUUGUCUCCUAUUAUUGUUUAAUGCUUCAAUUUAAUAUCACUAUUUAGUGGCCAUUUCAUGUAUUACCUCAAAAAUUGGAAUUAGUGGUACUGGUAAGAACAUAUACCCUAGAUCUUGUCCUCAGGCAAUGACCUUCAUAAAGAUCGAAGAGCUAGCGGGAAUGGAUGAUCGUGUUAAAGAGGCAAAAAAAAGGUAUUGGAAAACUACAUGUAGUCAGCAGCAUCAGAGUAAUUUAGAUGUAAAAUUGUAAUACUGUGAAGUGUUAAUGAGAAAUGAAAAACUUUGAUACAAUAGAUUUGUCAUCAUAUAUGAAGUUUUUCAUUUCUUAAAUCAUAUUAUAUCCUUUAAUACAGUGAAAAGGUUCCACUAAAUUGGAAUAGAAAUGCAAAGAAGUUUUAUUGAUUCACUCAAAGAAGCAAGGCUCGACCAAAUAAUCUUAAAAAGAGGAGUGCUAGCAACACUCUCUCUAAUACUCACUCUCUUAUUGGUUUAAAUCAUUGUGGGUUUACACAUUGGAAAUAGAACACACACAAAGUAGUGGGACAUACAUUGAUUUCAUCCAAUAGAAGAGUGAAUGUUAGAGAGAGUGUUCAAAAGUGAGUGUUGCCUUUUUGGCCGUAGGCUUGAAGCGAGGGAUUUAGUGACCUAGCCCUUGCGCCGACCUUGAGAAGCAUUACUCAAUAUGUAGAGUACCUAAUUUAAUAUUUGACUUCUUAAAUUUUAAUGGAUGUAUUGAAUGUUUCACAAUUCUCUAUAAGGGUAUAUUUGUAAACAUAUUCAAAAAGUUUUGAGUUAAUAGGUCUUUACCCCCUCUAAUAUAGAUCAUUUUCGAUUUUCCCCCCUCUAAAAUCUUUUUUUUGAUUUACCCGCUGCAAACAAAAAUUGUUUUGAUUUACCCCCUAAUAAGCCAAACAAAAAUCAAUUUUUUUUUUCAAGAAAUUUUCGUUUUUUGUUUGACCUAUUAGGAUGGUAAAUCAAAACAAUUGUUUUUACAGCAGGGUAAAUAAAUAAAUAAAACAGGAAUAUCAGAGGUGGGUAAAAGUUUUGCUGACAAUUAAGCCUCUCUUUUUUAGUCAAACAUGUAACAAAUAAAAAAAUAAUACUCAUGGUCAAGCAAAAACUAAUCCAAUUAAUUCUUGCUGACUACAAUGACAAAAGUCAAUGAACAAAUACAGUGCCACGCGUGUAUUAUCUUAAAAUUGAUUAUUACAAAAAAAAAUUGUUUUAUCUUCAAAAACUUAAAUAAACGACCUAUGUACCCUCAUUUAUUAUUUGACUUUUUAAAUUUAAAUGGAUGUAUUGAGUGUUUCACAAUUCUCUAAGGGUAUAUUUGUAAUCAUAUUCAAAAAGUUUUUUUUUCUCUUAUAAAAGGAGGGUCACAAAAUGAUAAAUAAUUUAAAAAGUUUUGCUCACAAUUAAGCCUUUUUUUUGGUGAAAAAUGUAACAUAAAAAAAUAAUACUUAUGGUCGAGCAAAACUAAUCCAAUUUAUUCUUGCUGACUAAAAUGACAAAAGUCAAUGAACAAAUACAAUGCCACACAUGUAUUAUCUUAAAAUCGAUUAUUAUAAAAAAAACAAUUGUUUUACUUUAAAAAACUUAAAUAAACGACCUAUGUACCCUCAUAUAAUAUUUGAAUUUUUAAAUUUUAAUUGAUGUAUUGAAUGUUUCACAAUUCUCUAUAAAGGUAUAUUUGUAAACAUAUUCAAAAAGUUUUUUUUUUCUUCUUAUAAAAGAAAGGGUCAGAAAAUGAUAAAUAAUUAUAAAAGUUUUGCUCACAAUUAAGCCUUUUUUUUGUAAAACAUGUAACAAAUAAAAAAAUAAUACUUAUGGUCAAACAAAACUAAUCCAAUUUAUUCUUGCUGACUAAAAUGACAAAAAUCAUUGAACAAAAUACAAUGACACACAUUUAUUAUCUUAAAAUUGAUUAUUAUAGAAAAAUAAUUGUUUUACUUAAAAAAACUUAAAUAAACGACCGCUCAAUGCCCUAUAAAUUAAGAUUGAUGUAUGUCUUGUAGGCAUUGUGCAUACAACAAUGGCAAUUCCAAGUGCAAUCACCUUAAAAUCAUCAAUACUCCUAAUCAUGCUACUUGCAUUUGAGGCUAGAGAGACUAUCGCUAUUGGUGCUAGGGUAACAGUUACUAUUGUAAACAAGGGAGCGGAUUGUCUCCUGUGAAGUUUCUCUCCAGUCUUCUCCUGUGCAAUCCUAGCCUUUCCUUUUUAAAGACAUGUCAACGGCUACGAUUAAAACCAAUUAAAUCAUAGAUUUUGUCUCUUUCACAAACCAUUUUCUGCUCCAUCCUGCACAGGUUUGCGACGGUGUGGGGAAGUUGCGAUUGAAACCACGGCCGUGCACGAACACGUACGUUUCUCACAGUGGAUCUUGAAGGUUAAAAUGGCAAACACGUUUUCAAAUACGAUCUCUAACUUCUCUGCGAAUACGUACGUACCUAUUCUCUAGUUGUCUUCUCUGUUUAGGGUUUCAUUCUCACUUUCAAAUUUCAAUCGAUUCUUGCUCAAUUCUUUCUUAAUAUCAGAUAUAUAGCAUGCUUAAUUUUCAGCGUCAAUUUUAUACUAGGAUUCUUGCUCAAUUCCUUCUUAAUUUUAUACUUUGAUUUUCGACUUCACUUUUCCAUCUUCCUUUCUUCUCUCAUUUUCUGUAUUAUUUUUUGAUAUUGUGUCGGAUUGAUUCUAAUAAGUUGAUUAUCAAUUUAAUUUCAGAUUUACUUACAUGGAAUAACACUCCCACGUGUUGGAACAUAUGGAAUUGGAAAGUUAAAGGAAUUAAGAGAACUUAUAAUUCAAUAUUGUUUAUUGAAUAGUACUGUUUCUGAAUUUGUGAAAUGCCAGAAAGAAUUGGAGACAGUUUAUUUGGAGAAGUUUGAUAUUUCAAGUUCUUACCGCAAAUGUCAUAAACUUGCUUACUCAACUCCCUAAUAGCAUUCUCUACAAAGAUACGUGCUUCCUUACAAUCAGACUCGCUUGUAGCUAUUCUCACUAAUUUAGGACAAACCUCUCUAUACCAUUGUGCGCUAUCAAGAUUAACAUCUUCUUGGACAUUUCUUCCAUGUGUAUCUUUAACACAUCCAAUCUUUGCUUCCCUUGUCCACCUUUUCAAAAUAUAUUGGUUAGGGAUUGAUUUGAUAUCUUUCACAUCAAGAACCUUGAUUGCAUGACAACACUAAAUGCCAAAACUUUCAAAUUUUUUACAGCUGCACGAAAUCAUGUCAAUGGAAGGAUCAAACAAAACUUUGAACUCUUUAUCCUCCUUAUGCAUACCAAUUAAAUAUUCAUUAGUAGUUUCACCUUCUUUUAUUUUUUUUAUGUAAGCUGCAGAGUAUUUGUCAUAUUCUUUUUGAAAAAGAUCAAACAUAGGUAAUGUAUAUGUUUGUGCAGCUUGUUGCAGUAAAGGUGAAUGCUCCAUCUUCAACCUUGGUAAUUUUUGCCUAGACUCAAAUUCACAUUGCAACUCAUUAUACCUUUUGUCAUUGACCACUCUAUCAAAGUGUUUGAAAAAUUGGAUGAUGUCCAAGUCUGGUUUCAAGCAAGAUUUCAAAUCUGCAUUGAAGCUUUCACUAAGUUGUGUACUUCGCAUGCCAAUAGUCACAGCAUUCUUCAUAUAACAUUUAGCCCACUUCUCUUUUAUUUUAUACAAACUUGUUAUCCACCCACUUUUUUGAAGAUCAUAAUCAUCAACCAAUUUAUCCCAUGCUAUUUCAAAAUCAUCUUUUUCUACAUAUUUGUACAUGCAAAACUUAAGGUCUCUCAACAAAUUAGAACCAUUAUUCAUUCUAGCCCCAAGAUGUUUUAUGCCAUUUUGCAUCAAAUGCCAAGAACAUAGACCAUGGUAUGUUUCAGGCAUUACCUCAUGCAAAGCUUUAGCCAUUGCUGGGUCUUGAUCUGUGAAAAGAGUUUGAGGCUUCUUAUUCUUAUGCGCCUUCAAGAAUUCUCUAAACAGCCAUUCAAAAGAUGCUGAAGUUUCAUCGUAAAGAAGCGCAGCACCAAAAAUCACCACUCUUUUAAAGUGAUUAAAUCCUGCAAAUACAGCCAAAGGUCUAUAUGCAUUGUUAGUACUAUAUGUAGUAUCAAAAGUGACUACAUCACCAAAGUAUUCAUAAUCCAUUAUCAUUCUUGCAUCAGCCCAAAAAAUAUUUGUUAUUUGUUCUUCAACAUCUAAUUGGACUCCAUGAUAAAAUGAUGGAUUUUCUACACACUUUUGUUGAAAGUGGUGUAAUAUACUGCCAGCCUCCCCGUAUGCCAUGUUUCUCUUCCUCUUGUUGCGAAGAUAAUUCUUUUGAUCCACGCGUGUGUAACCAAGGUUCUCUCUACCACCAACUUGCCUACUCAUUAGCUCAAAUAAAGACCUUUGCUUGAUUCCUGCAUCAUCUGCCAAGUCAAUCUCAUGUGCUUGAAUUUCAGAUAAUUUUCGUUGAGAUGCAAGCAUGUGAGUCGUCUCAGGAAGGUGCAGUUGAUGAUUAUGCUCAUCAAACAAAUCAUGAAUUUGAUACUUUCCAAUAUCUUUUAUGUAUUUGAUUCCCAUCUUUACAGGGCAUCCAGUUCUUGUUUCAAGCCGAUGAUUAGUUGUUAAGCAGUCUCUUUUAUCUGGUUUACGAAAACCUUCUUUACUACACACAAAUCUUCCAGACAAAACCAUUCCAUCUUUGCUUUUGUUCAAGUAUUCUGUUCUAACAUUAAAUCCAAUUUUUCCACCAUAAUCAUUCCAAAAAUCCCUUGCCUCUUCCCAAGUAUUAAAUUGUUUUCCUAGUCGAGGUUUCCUCUCAAAUUCGUUAUCCAUGGAGAUGGCUUAUGGUGCAAAAAAAGAAUCAAUUGGCAACCUACUGCAAUAGCAAGAGAAGAGUAUCAAACCUAGUAAUGUUUUGUAUUCAACACAGUAGCAUGUCUAUUCAAUACUAUGAUUAUUUAUGACAUAACAGGAGAAAACAAGAGACAUAUGUGGUAGUAGUAUUGAUGACUUGCUUUCAGAAAUAGUAAAAUCAAACCUAAAAUCACAGACCUAAGUGUCGUAAAAAUAACAUAUAAAUCCACAUGUCCGCUUAAUUUCACGUUCUGCUUUCAAUACACAGAUAAAUUAACAUGCAGAUUAAGGCCCCAACAACUUAAAACUAGCAUCAUAGACUAAAAAACACAGUUGAUAAUGAAGAACCAAAAUGACAGAUUUGGUUACCUAAGUCUACUAUCACCAUUUUCAUUCCACAUAAACAAAUUUCGAAUGGAUUGUUAUUUGUUACCUUGAGACAAUAAAUUUGAAACAAUGACAAAGACGAUGAAUGAGCGUCGCAAUAGGGUGAGACAACGUCGAAUACUGGUGCGGAGACGACGACAACGGUGACAACGAUGGCAAUCAAGAAGCACAACGGUGGUAAGGGAAGCCAGGUCUGUGUUGUUAUGGAAGAAGAUGAAGAGGUUUCUAUUAUUUCUAAGGGAAGCCAGAACGUGAAAAGGGAGGAAGGGAAAUGAAAAUGACACAUUAAAAUGAAUGAAGGGCUGAGAUUAAUUAAGGUUUCAUUAAAAGAAAUGGACGGCUAAGAUUGAUUCACAGGAGAAAACUGGAGGAAAUUUCCACUGAAGUAGAUCCUCUCCGUUCAAGGUCCAACUCCAACAACCAUGACUGUUCAUUGCAAAUCCAAAAAUGAUGAUCUUGGAUUUCACACAAUCAUGUUUGGACAAAGUUACGUGUUUUCAUUCAAACCAAUAGUAUUUCCAAUUUUCAUAGCUACGCUAUUCUUCUGUAGUUUUACAUGGCCACAAGACCCCAAUCUUCAUUAUCUUGACGUUUACGAUGCAAAAAAUGACGAUUGUAGAGAUUGCUCAUGGAAAAUAAAUGUAGAUGGAGGAUGUUUGAACGGUGAGUGUCGUUCUUUUAAUAAAAAUAUCCAAUUAAUGGAUGCAAGAGCUUAGCCUUGCACUUUCAAGGUAUUGUUUCAAAUUUUAGUAGGGGAUGGUUGUAAAAUGGCCAUGAGUGUCAAUUUAAUUAAUAAAUUAUCUUCCUAUGAAAUAUUAUAUUUUUGUCAACUAAUUCUAUAGUCUUUCAAUGUUUAUUUAAAGUGUAUUACUUAUCACUAAAAUUAAAAGUAUUGAAUAAUUGAAAAUAAGAAGUAAACUACAUGAGUUUUCAAAAAGUUAUCGUUACUCUUACUACCUACUACACCAAAAUAAAAUAAGAAGCGAACAAUGUUCUCCUCCUACGACAUAAUUUGUUUGGGGAUGCACUUCCAAUCUAUGAUAUAUAAACAAACACACACACCGAUAUAUAUAUAUAUAUAUAUAUAUAUAUAUAUAUAUAUAUAUAUAUAUAUAUAUAUAUAUACACACACACGUCUAAAUUGAUUUGGAUCUUAAGAAGAGUUUCUUCCCAAAAUAAAAAAGUUGACGCGUUUGUCCCCGUGAAGAAAGCUCACUAGGUAGGAACAAUGCAUUGUAAUAUACAAAGGUCAAGAGUUGAACCACAGACACUCCACUUAUUCACCUUAACGAUAGAUUCUAGUCACUAAACUACUUGACAAAAAUAACAAUUUAACGCAUUAAAUAUCUUUUAGUUAGUAUGUUGACCCCAUUUUCGGCAUAGUACGUUGAUGCUCAGAAACUGGUUAGGAACGAAAAUAUAUCAUUUCUCAAAAAUAAUUUAAAAAAUCGUAUAAAUUGAAUAAUUUAUUUUUAUAGUAUAUAAGGUAUUUUUUAACAGCAAUAAGGUUUAUUUUAUAACACUUAUCGAUUUAUUUUACGAGUAAUUCAAUACAAAAACUUCCAAGUAUAUAUAAAUAUCGUUUAUACAGCUAAAUUUUACCAGAAAGCUACCAGCUCUGUUUACGUAACCUUUUUUUUUUUUUUUUUAUAGGUUUUGGACAUGAUUGAUGACUCCAUGUCAACACUAGUAUUUUGGUCAUGUUUAUGUCGUUUUUAUGGCAUUUAGAGAGUCAACUGCUUGUAAUUCAUGGUAAAAUCAUAUCAAAAUAGGAACAAGAGCCCAAAAGAAGAAAUUGAUGAAAAGAUGAAAAUAUUCCUAAGUGUGAAGAAUCGUGCCACGUUGAAGAAGGUUCGUGGCACGUUGUGAAGGUGUGGGACAAAGGAAAUCAAUUCUGAAAGAAUCGUGCCACGACAAUUUGUGGAUCGUGUCACGAUGCUAGGUUUUAUCUACUACCUCGUAGGAUUAAUGAAGUAAUUGUGCCACGAUUGGAUCGUAACGUGGCACGAUGAUGGGCUUUUCUGAAACCCUAAAAUUCUUUCUAUGAAAGCUAGCUAAUGCUAAGGUUUAGGGUACCGAUUAUUAUUGCGAUUUUGAGCAUAGAAGACACCAGGAGACCGAAGAACAAGCCCUGAAUCUCAUACCAACUCAUAGUUGGUCCGGAUUUAUGUAUGUUUUCUCUUGUUUAUGCUUAUGAUUGUUUAGUUAUCAGUAGUUAAACUCUUAGUUUGAUUGAGCCAUUAUGAAGCUAUUGUAAUAUGUGAACCAAGUAGUUGAACUCUCUUUAUUAUAAAUGAUAUGUAGUCUUUAUUCAGAAUUAUUUGUUUUCAUUGCUUUUAUUAUGAUUGUUUGCAUGACUAUUAACCCUAGCUUCUUUCAAUCAUGUUAAUUGAUCUUAGGUAUUAAUUGACUACUUUCCCUAGCUUUUAAUCCUGAAAUAGUAAUUGUGUUUAACUUUGCAUAUGAAACUAGAGAUAGGAAUAAGUUGCGAGUUAUGACUUAGGAAUUAACGUUCAGACAUAGCUUAUGCGGUUAUUCAAUCGGUUUAAGAGAUUAAAAGGUUAUAACUUAGGAAAGGGUUUUGAGUUAAGAGAUUGAUCAAAACUAAUUAGUUAAUUUGUCUUAAAGAAAGAAUAAUCAUUGAGAUUAAAGAGAGGUAAACUAUCCACAUAGGAAAAUAGUGGAUUCACUGGCUUAAUCAUUCAUCUCCAAUAUAUUUUUCAAAACAAACUAUAUAUUUACUUUUUGUUGCACUCAAAUCUACUGCCUAGGGCAAACUAAAUAACCUUUACAUAUCCUAAACAAUAACGUCAUUGCUAUAAUUGAGAUUAAUACAGUCCUUGUGGAACAAUAUUUAUUACUACUUCGAUACUUUUUGGUACAUUUGCCAGAGUUUUAUCAAUGAUUACACCAAUACGGAGUAAAGUAAGGCAAACAUAAGCGCCAAGGGCAAAACCAGAGCAUCAAAGACAUUUGGGAAGAGCUUGAUUCCCUAAUUAUGUAUAGAUUAAUUACUCCCUUCGUCCAAAAUUAUAAGUUAUAUCCGAAAUAAUAAGUCGUUUUACAUUACCAAUAUAGGAUUUACGUGAAUUUUCCUAUUAUACUCUUAAUUUUUGUUGUGUUUUUUUAUUGUUGAGUUGGCUUCAUUUUCUUAAAACAAUAUUUUCUGGCAAGAUUUUGUACCAGAUGACCUAGACAUGUAGUAUGACAUCCUUCAUAUGAAGUUGUACCGUAUUUUUCCUUCUUUGGAGUGAUGUAACUUUGUGUAUGAUCGGAGAGGAGUUGCUUGAAGAUUUGUUUGGUAAUACUUUUGCUCCAAAAAGCGUGUGGUUAUAGAAUCUUGCUUGUGUUGGUUUAUGAUGCCGUAUAUUUGAAGUUAAUUUCCAAUAUAGAUUUGUGAAAAAAAUAUUUUUCUUCUAGAAAGAUUGUUGCUUAAAAUAUAAUUUUGUUCACGCAGAACAAUGGCUAUAUCAGGAGACCCAGACCCUAGUUUCUAAUUACGAAAAUCAAGAUUAGAAAAGCAAAUUAUUAGGUUUUUGUUUGUGAUUCUUUGUGUUAUUUUGUACACCUCGCUUGUGCCUCCAUUGAAUAUCAAAAGGUUGAGAGUAGGUUUGUUUAGUUGACUUGUAAUUAUUCUUUGUAUAACACUAUAGUGCUUCUAGCAAGAGUUGGUUUGUGUUUUGAGUUGUUCUCCUAAUAUUAUUCUAACGGUGAUUGAGUCAAUCACUAGGGAUAGGGGUUGAGAGAAAGUUAGAAGGGUUUAUCAUAUUUUGGGGGAGUUUUAUAUAGAAAUACACGUGUAGUAUUAGGUGAAGAGGUAAUGAACAAGGUUUGUUCACAUAAGACUAAAAAUUAAUACUAUUGAUAAUGUAUUUCAUUUCUUGAGUGGAUGCCCCCGAAGAGGCAUGUGAAGUUGCACCGUAAUGGUUUACCAAAUCUCUUGUGUUCUUCGUUAUCGCGCUUUACUUUAUUUCUAUCUAGUAUUCAUUGUGCUAUAUUGUUGUACCUGUUUUCCAAGAAAUCGCAUAUUAACGCAGCUAUUGUCUAGGUCAUCACAUAGAGUAUCUGUCCAACGAGUACUAGAAUUUCAAUUAUAUUUUUUUGCGGACACUCUUAAUCAUUAAUAAUUUAUCUUUUUUGAAUUCUUUAAUUCAUCUUUCAUACAUAAUAAAUAUAAAAUAAUUUUUUUAAAAUAAUUCUUAAUUUCUCUGUCAUGCAAAAUUAAUUUCAUUUUACCAAAACAUCUUAUAAAUGAAGGAGGAUGAUUUACCAAAACAUCUUAAUUUCAUUUUACCAACGGUGGCAGAGAAUGCUUCGAUGAUUCGGUAAUGGUUUCCGGUACGGUGACGAUUAGUCUUUGUGGUGGAAUGAAGGGUGCUUGUAGGCACGUUAGCACUCCAAUGCUCAAGUCUGUAACAGAACUGAAAGAGAGUGAGUAAGUUUGGAGAAGUGAUGUUUUGCAACAAAAGAGGGUUUUUUUUUAUAUAUAUAAAAGAGGUAAAUGAAGCAGUAAAACCGUCAAUUUCCUCGGUCAAAAACCGUCGCGUGUCUUAAAUUGGAAAGUAGUUUCUUUGAUGUAGUGGAGAAGCUAGGAGUUUUCAAGAAAACCAAUAGACAAGAAGGAGGCGCCAGAUUGAUGAAGAGAGUGGGAAACGUCCGAAGAUGAAGCAGGAAAGACGUCGAAGGACACAUGGAGAUAUGGGGCAAAUAGAAAGGUUCCAUCAACUUUUGAAGUCCAUAAGUAGUGGCCACAAAAUCUCGAAAUCGUGGGGAGAAAGAAUCCCUAAUAUUAACUACUCUCAAAAGUCAAGAUUAGCGUAACACAUGCUUUGGAAUACUUCGAGGUUUUUUUUUCUCUCAAAAAUGCCAAUUCUCUCCUUUGAAUAUAUUCAGUAGAAAAUUUCAUUUUUAGGGGGCAAUUUUUUAGCUGAUAUUUUCACCAUCCUCAUUUAAUGUGGUCAACAUUAGUUGACUUUUACUCUUACAGAAAUCAAAGUAUUUUUUUUUUCAAUCAGAGAGGUUUCGACAAAAUGUUGGACUCAACAUAAAGAGUCUUGAUACAUUGAAGUUCAAUAGGAUAUAGAGCAAGAAGCGAAGCCGUAUAAGUCAAGCAAUUGCCUUUGGAGAGGGAAGAUUCGAAUUUCAAAAGAGAAGCGGUUUCCUCAAGAGAAAACGUGGGAGACAAGCGAUUGUCUACAUGGAAGGAGUGCUAAUCUUGGGAUUAGUUUCUUUCCACUUAUUUCCUAUGUAUAAAUAAUAGUUUUCCUUAGGGAAAACGGGUCUCAAAUCUCCUAUAUGGAAUUCUAAAACACUCGAAGUAACAACGCAAGAGAAAAGAGUCAUAAAUCUCAUAUUUUAAAAUGUAUGUAAAGGAUUUGCCGAACCACCUUUAUUUAUAAUGCACUUGCAUUUGUAUUUUUUCUUUUCUUUGAGUUUCUGCAAUUUAAAACUUAAUGCAUUAAAACCUAUCGAAAGACGCCACACGGUCUUGUCCAGUUCGUUAAGCAACCUACGAACUCGAUGAACGCACAAAAAAAAAAUGUACUACAUAUCCUAGGAUCUCUGGUUUGAUCCUUCUUGUUAUAAUCAAAAUCAGUCUGUAUUUAUUUACCAAAAACACUGGUAAACAAUUGCACACCCUUAUUUAUUGUUGUUUAUGUUUCUGACAUUUUAUGCUUCUUAUACCUGUGCCUCUGAUAUUAUUUUGUGUUAUGCUCUGUUAACUUUUUGCUCAUAUAUGCAUAGAAAUAUUCAUGCUGUUAUCCUUUUUCAUUUCUUUUCUUACUUCUCUCUUUAAUUUAUUUUUAGUCUUUUUUUUUUUUUAUGACAAAAGGGGGUGUGGGGUAUAGUACAUUUAGAUUCUGAGUCCACUAAAUUAAGAUUAAAAUUAAUUUAGGAGAACCUUCUUCUCAUCUCUUAGUCUCUGGAUUUGAUGUGAAUUAUUUCUGAGGGACGUUUUUAAUGAUUAAAAUGAAUUUAAUUAACUUGGAUAAAACUCAGGGGGAGCUUACAAACCUCACCUUAAGAACUAUCAGACUCAGGGGAGCUUACAAACCUCAUACCUUAAAGUCAACUUGUUAAUUAGAUUAACAACAAUUGACUAUUAAAAGUAGUGUUUGUCAUCAUCAAAAAGGGGGUGAUUGUUGGAACAAAAUGUGUUUAACAUUACCACCUUAAGUUUUGAUGAUAACAAGGUAUUAAAAAGUCAAUUCGAUAUGCUAGUAUUUGUUCAAGUGUGCAGGACCGUAGACUAAAAUUUAUAAGUCUUAAAACAAGGUAUUGGUUCUGAAAGAACAAAAGAGAGCAAUUGAAUUUACUAAGGAAGCUUAUGUUGCAAGUUUGAGUCUGAAGACCAUCAGAGUCUGAAGAUUCAUCAGAAGAUGACUACCAGAGUCUGAAAUUCAUCAGAGUAUGAAGUCAAGAAUCUGGAGUUAGUUAAAGUUGGUUAUUUUGAAGACACAUGAUUGCAAAAGGAAUAGAAGCCUGGAACAACGUAUAUUUCAGAGGAAUUAUAAGGCAUUGGAUGCUUAACCACUGAAGAGCGCAUGAAAGAACAAUAGUAUAAUUGUACAACCACUGUUCCACUAUUCCACUAUCAUGUAUGCACAUAGUACUGCUCUAGCUGUGUCUAUGCUGGUUAAUUCUCCAAACAAGGAAUGGAUUUCAAAUUAUUUCCUCCUAGGAUAUUAACCAAAUCAAGCUCUAGUAACGACUCUUUGGUGUGUUGGAAACCUCUCAACGUCUCUUUCACACCUCUAUAUAAAGGAGUGAAGACUUGGAGAUUUAUAGUGACUCAACAACGUUUUGAUAGUGUCAAAACUCUAUUGAAAUUGUUGUGCAUCAUAAACUUAGAAUUUCUUAUAAACUUUCAUAUCUUAGAUAUUCUAGAGUCUUAAGAGUCUUAUCUGAUCUGUAUUGAGAACACCACUGAUUGUAUAUCAAGUGUUCAACCUAAACAUUGUAAUUUUGUUUGUCUAGAAGUCUCUUGCUUUUGUGCUUGAUCAUAGGAAAAUAUCUUACUUGUGUGCUUGAGCAUUUGUAAUCAAAUAUUGAUUUUAGUGAACUCUCCUUGGAAGUUCAAGGGGGACAAGACUACUUGCGGAUUAUGUAAAGAAUCUAUAUAAUUGUUUGUGUCUUUCUCUUCUCUCUUUCUUUAUCUUUACAUUAUCCACUGCAUUAGACUUGUACAUUGUUCUGGAAACUGGACUCUAUCAGACUAUGGACCUUGGACUUAGUUUAAAAAGAAGAAAAAGAUAACACAAUUCACCUCCCCACUACUCGGUCCGCCCUUGGUUAGGCUCAACUUACUUAACAAUGGCUGGAGAAAGAACAUCAGCGAGGUUCAUGAUAAGUGCUAGAAAGUUGUAAUUUAAGUGAUAUAUUUUAGGCACUUUUGUUACUUGUUUUGCAAGUUAUUAAGGGAAAAGCCGAGAAAUAAGUGAUUAUUGCCCUUUUACGCUUUAUCUAUCUUACUUCACCCAUUUGUGCAGGAUUUGAACUCAAGACAUCAAGGAAAGAGAAGAAAAUGAAGAAAAGUACAAAAAGGUUGAAAAAUGAAGAUUACUCGCCCCCAACUCGCCAUGGCCAGUAAAAGGCGAGCAAUUCCAGUGGCCAACAGAGAUUACACGCCACCAACUCGGAAUGGCGAGUAAAAGGCGAGUCUGUUCGCCAUGGCGAGUGGAAUGACUCGCGAGGCGAGUAAAGGCGGUUUAGCCUCUCAAUGCUGACGUGGCACAAACCCAAUGGGGAAGAAACUUCAACUCGCCAUGGCGAAGGAAGUAGCUCGCGAGGCGAGUUGAUGCAGAGUCAGAAUUCUAUAAAUAGCCCACUCAACCAUUUCAUUAAGAUAGUUUUAUAUACUUUAGUUUUUCUCUGAGUUUUUCACUUGUAAUAUUUCUAGAGAGAGAGAUAGGGCUUGUGCUUUAUAGAGUGAGAGUGAUAGAAAGUGAAUUCUACAUCACUUUGUUGAGAGAUCACAAGUGUGUAAUGGAUCUUUCUCUUUCAAUUCAUCCUUGCAAGGCUUCCAUGACAAUGAGUAGCUAAAUCUCCUUUGUUGGGAUUAGAGGUACUUGAUCAUAGCUUAAACAUGUAAUCUUUUGAUUUAUAAAUAUAUGGUUCUAGCAUUUGAUUUGAUAUUGAUGUUAUUCUUGCACUUAAUCUUUAUCUUUGAUUUAAUUGUGAUUGAGAAAUACUUUUGAACGUAGUGGUCUUCCAAGUUUAAUUUUAUUUUUUAAACACUUCUAUGUGGAACAUAGUUUCUUGGGCUAUAGUGGCAAGGACGUACCUGAGCAAUACUGAAUUCAAUUCACAGGGGGAGCAACGCUUGGCUAGUGCGCAUGCCUCUACGCAUGAGCCAGAUUAGUUGUGCACCUUUGGUGAGUCGGAAACCGGUGCGAAAGCAAAAAAAAAAUAAACACUUCGAUGUGGGACAUGUUAGGCUUAGACACCUUUACUGCUUAAUUAUUUGGUUCAACAUUUAUAGCAUUUGUGGAUAAACAAAAGGGUCCGCCCUAGGCAUAGGCCGGGGGUGCGACGGCCUAGGGCCCAUGCCAUUAGGGGACACUAAAAAAAAUUAUGUAAGGGGGUGUAUAUAGAAAUAUUGGAUUCAUUGGGGGUUUAUAUAGAAAACUUUAUUGAAAGGCCCGAAAUAUUAACAUGAUGAAGGACUGGACUCAAAUCUGUUAAUGUAUUAGGCCUUUUGACAAGAUUUGCUAUAUAUACCCUUGUAUAACACAAAGAUUUCUAUAUAGACCCUCCUUAUAAAAAAAUUGAUUUUUCUCAAUAAUGUGAAGAAAAAAAAUUAUUAUCGAAGAAAUUGACAAUAUUUUUUGGGCCCUUUGUUCUUAAUAAUGUGCCUCACUAGUAUUAAAAAUAUUGAUGAUAUUUAUUAUCAAAGAAAUUGGGAUAAUUUUCAUAACAAAACAAUUACAUUUUAGUUGAAAAUGAGUCUAUGAAAUUAAUCUUAAUCUUAUAUUUCUCAGGUUUCAAAAAAAUAAAUUAUAUUAAUAUUGUGAUGACAACUUUCUUGAAUUGAUCUUUCAAAAAAAAAAAAAACUUUCUUGAAUUGAUAGAAAGGAUUGUAAAAUUGAAUUCAAUAUUGCAAGUUGAUGCGAGAGCAUUCAUGCUCAUUAAGCCGAUGUGAAACGCCUUCAUGAUCAUUUCGCAUGUGCUAUUGUUCUCUUCUAAGGUUUUUUAUUUUGUUUUAGUGUUUGUAAAGUAUUUGAUUUAUUUUCAUAAUAUGUUGCCUAAAAAAAAUGGUAGUGAAAAGAGGAAAAAAAUAAAAUAAAAUAAAGAACUAAUAAAAUCACAAUAAUGAACUAAAAAAAAUUAUGACGUAUUAUAUAAGGGACCAUUUUCUCAUAUUAUGCCUAAGAUCCGUAAAACUCUAAGAACGGCCCUAGAUAAACAACGGGCUCCAUGGAACAUGCCUAAGUGCCCAUAUCCUUCACAUAAUUGGGCAGGACCCAAUGUUGCAAACAAAACUCCGCGACCAAGCCUUCUUGUCUCAAGGCCUCGACAAAAGUCGCUUUCACUAUAGCUGCUGUAACACCCAAAUUUAAGUUAAAAAUUUGAAUGAAAUAUUUUCUAAAUAGAAACUUUAAUUCUCUUUAAAAACUUUAUUGAAAAGUUUACAACUUAAAAAAAUGAAAUUUUACAUUAAUAUCUGAGCAAAACUCCUCAGUCCUCAGUCCUCAAAUGUGUACUUCUAUACCUGGAAACGUCACCCGAAAAACAUAGUGAGCAAAACUCAGUAACAUAGAAUUUAAGGAAAAUAAUAUAGAACGUUUCCAGCCAUGUUAGUGUACAAAACAUGGAAAAAUCCUCUCUUUAACUUAAAUACAAGUCUUACACUUAUCAUACUUUUAACCAUUACAGAAAUUUCAACAAAGAAAUUAAAAUGUAAUCCUUUAUAAUGUGAAUUGACGUACUCAAUUUCAAUGUCAACAAUUAGUUUUUUCAGUCAACAUAAUCAUGUACAUUCACCUUUUAAUAUACUUUAACUUUAGAUAUAUCAAAUGUACGAACUUGUGCCGAUGUAUAUAUUCAUUUGAAAGAAAUUAUGUUGUAAUUUUAAUGUAUCUAAUACUAGGUUUAACGCACAUGCUAAAUAUUCUAGAUAAAUUUAGUAUGUGUGUUACAUUUGGUAUCAGAGCAGGUCGAUUCAGAUCGUGCCUUGAGUAAUUAGAAUUCAAUGAACGUAGUGGGACCAUUGGGUUUCAGAUAUUUAUUCUGAAUGUCAUUACAAGGUGAGCCUAAUCAACUCUGUCUAGUAUAUGACGGUUAAAAUGAAUGUCUGAGAGCUGAAUAGGACCUAGGAGGAAUGAAACGCAUGAAUAAGUAUAAUCAGGGUGUCAAAACUAAAGACAGAUUUUGGUGAAGAAGUACUGAUAAGUGCUUAAAAGUAACAUAUUUUAUGUGUUAAUCUAGGCAUUUUAGUGACUUGUUUUGCAAGUUAUCUAAGGAAAAUCUAUCAAUUGUUGUAUUUAUACCAUUUAUGCUUUAUGUGUCUAAUUCUGCCCAAUUUAUGCAGAAAAUGACAAGCAAGGUAGCCCACUGGCUAUCCCUUUCGCAAUUUGAUGCAAAUUAUCUCAGCGAUGUGAUGGAUUCAGGUCCCUUAUUGUAGAUAAAUUUGUCAAGAGAACCAUUAGACAUAAAUUCAUAUACAAGAGCUUUUUUGGUGCCUUCGUAACAAAAUCCAAGAAGGGUGACAAUAUUAACAUGCGAGGUUCUAGAAAUACUAGCAACCUCAUUAAUAAAUUCUUCACCGUUUAACCUUCAAGUUUAACUUUCCUUUGCACACAGCACCAAAACCUCCUUGACCAAGUUUAACCUUGAAUGAGUUUGCAUUCUCUUUAUUUCAAAGAAUUUAUAUCUUUUCUGCAAUAGAGCUCUAUGAUCUUUUAAAAAUGCUUCAAUAUUUGAAUUGUUCUUUUUGCUAAACCAGAGUUUUACUUGUUGUAUUAGUAUCUAUUUGGUUACACGUUUGUAAACCCCAAACUCCCGUUUUCAAUUCCAAACGCCAAUUCAACCAUCUCAUGGAUGUUUGGAUAACUUUAAAACCAAUUCUCUAAAACGUGAAUCUACCCAAAACAUGAGUUUCUUUAAAGCUAUAGAUUGGAAUAUUUGUUGACAAAUUUACUUACCAUAUUACCCUUAUCUUAUUCUCCAACUUCCUACACAUAUUUUUUUCUUCAGUACUCUAUUUUUUUUUUCAUUGUCUUCCGACUGCAGGUGUAGGUUGAAGACAACCCUUGGGGUUUCUAUUAUUUAACUCUUUGGCCCAUUAAGUGUGUUUAUAUUAUGGGUUUUCGAUUAUUUAUUUUUCUUUGUUGAGAGGAUAUUUAUUUUUCUUUUGUUGAAAGAAAUAAAAUAAUGUUAAAAAAAUAGUUAUAAUUUAUAUUGAAGUUUUUUUUCUUUUGAGGAAAUAAUUUAUAUUGAAGUUGAAAUCCAUUAUUAAUUUUAGAUAAGUUGAAAUAAUUAUCUAAAAUGAGAAUAAAAAUUUAGUUAAAGACAAUUAAAAGGGUAAUUUGGUCAUUUAAAGUUCAAAAUCAAUUUUGAUUCAAACUAUCCAAACAACAUCAACCCAUAAGAAUCACUUUUAAAUAAGUGUAUCCAAAAAUAACGAAUUAACAUCCAACUCAUUUUUAGCCAAAAUAAAUUAUCUCAAACUCAAUUCUAUCAAAAUCAAUUAUCGUCACCGCCAAACUAUACACACAUUUAUUAAAUUUCCUCUAAAAUAACAAAUUAUGAUACACACUAACAAUGCUGAUAUUGUUGCACUUCCGAAACCUGUUGUUACAAAAGGAGAACUACCUUUAUUUUUAUGCCGAUGAAAGAAAUCAAAGAAAAUAAAUAAAAGUUAUAAUGUGUCUUUUCUUAUAGAGACACUUACGUAGACACAAACUUAAAUACAAUUUAUUUAGACACAAAUAUAUAUAUUGCUAGAACACACCCACUAAUUUUUAUGUGGGAGUGUUUUAGCAAGUUAUAACUAAAAAGUUAAUAAAUACACCUUAAGGUGUAUAUUGCUAUAGCACACCUUCUAGAAAAAGCAAGUGGGUGUGUUCUAGCAAAUCCUAUAGGCAUUUGCUAGAAUACACCCACUUAUUUUUUAGAAGGAGUAUUUUAGCAAGUGAAUAACUAAAAAGUGGUUAAAUACACCUUAAGGUGUAGCUUUGCUAAAACACUCCCACAUAAAAACUAGUGGGUGUGUUCUAGCAAAUCCAUAUAUAUAUAUAUAUAUAUAUAUAUGUUGUAGAUUCAUUUAAUUAACGAUGUACAUGAUCUUUAUUAUACAUCACUUAUAUCAUUUAAUGAAUGAAUCUAAAAUAUUAGUUUUUGCUUAUAAUAAUAACAGGCGGAUGUAUUUUUCAUUUUACAUUUAUGAUAAUGGUGAAUGUGUCAAAACUUGAUAAGAACGUUUAAAAUUAUUUUUCUUUUUCUUUCACUUAUACACUUUUGUUAAUAUAUGAAAAAUUAUCAAAUGACUCUUUUAAUUUGAGUCGAGAUCAAUAUACUUGACUUUGUUUUUUUUUUUUUUGCUUUGCGCAUGUGCAUUAAAUUAAAGUUUGAUAGUAAUAGAAAUCAUGAAGUUUGAUUUACUUACCUAUAACGACUGUUCUUUUCCAAUUAGAGUCACUACCUGCAAUAAUAAGCAUUGAGAGCAAGAAAGAACUGUUACUGUUUCUUGUUUUUUUUUUUUUUUUUUUUUUUUUUACGGAGUUAUGUCUUUAUAAUUUUUUAGAAAAGAAAAUAAUCAAUAACCGUGACUAUUCUAACAAAUAGUUUUUUAAAUUCAACAAAAAAAAAAAAAAAACAAAUAGUCUUUUAAAGCUCUCUUAUUGAAUUUCUACUUUUUUAUCAUAGGCGAAUUAUUUUUUUUUUUAAUGAAAGCGAAACACUUUUCUUGAAAUAAUUUUUUUUUUUUAAAUUGUGUAUUUAAUGUUUAAAAGUUUAAACACCUUUCUUUUGAAUACAUAUUUUAUAUCUUAAUUUAUGAAAACUAAAUCUGAAUCGGUAAAACGGUGAAGUAUACAUACCUGUUGUAGCACGAUGAAUGUGUUGUAUCGGUGUUGGUGUUGGUGCUGGUGCCGAGGAUAAUGUAAUUGAGCUAUUGUCAGCAGUGGCAUUGGGACAAUGUGUACCAUUACUGCAAACUAUAUACAGCAGAAUUUUGUUCAUAUUAGUAAAACAAAUAUUCUGACAAAAAUAAUUCCUGCAUAUGAAUUCAAAGCCUAGGUUUGCACUUUUAUUAUUCUAUACGUGGGAAAACUAAAUCUGAGUAAAAACCUGUAGAUGGGUGAAUAUACAUACCAACUUUAAGUCUAGGUGAUAUAGGACUAGGCAGUAACAACGAUGAUGUCCGUGUUGGUGUCGGUGCCUGUGUCGGUGGUGGUGUCUGUGUUGGUCGCAUUGUAGUUGAGCCAUUGACUUUGAGACAAGCUGAUGCUCCACGACUUUGUGGACUGCAAGCUAUAUGUAGCAAUUUUUUGUUCACUAAUUAGUAACAAAUAUAUGCUGGAAAAAUAAACUGAGAUAAUGUAAUUUUAAAGAUUUCACUAUUAGUAAAACUAACAUAAACAUGGAGGUUGCGUUAAUAUCUUGAAUGUUUAGUGAUGACAUUAGGUCAUGCAUUAUUUUGUUAGUUGUUUCUAUGAUUUUUAGUAGAGUUCAUAUGAUUUUUAGGGGUUAUAAGGUGGAAAAUGAUAGAAAUUGAGGAAACAAGGUAAUUAAACCAUAGUGUCACAGUUUUUAUACACCGUGACAUGAUUUUGAACAAAUUUAUGGAGUUUCAAGUCGUAAAAAAAUGUGUCACGAUUUCUGCAUAUUGUGACGCGAUUUGAGGAGCGUAUGGAGGAAUUUUGAAUUUGAAUAAACACUCGUGGCACGAUUUUUUACCAUCGGGGCACGAUUUUUUAAUUACAAAAGGAGGAUCUAUAAAAGUCAGACGAGCUUUUGUGCAAAGGGUUCGAAAAUUGGAGACGAAAAAAUGCAUCUUUGGAGCUCAAAAACUGAAGAUCUGGUGGGAGGUUAUCAAAACUCAUAGUUAGCCAUCCAUUUAAUGUAAUGAAUCCUAUUUUCGUAUGGUGUUUAUGCUUUAUCCAUAAGUAGCUAAUUUCUUAAUGAUUAGGUCUUGAAUGAUUUUGUUCUAAAGUUUUUGAACAAUGUAAUAUCUAAAGUCUAUUUCCUUAUAAUUGCAAAUCUAUUUUCUUCAGUAUAAUGCAUGCUUAAUGUUUUUAUGUUCUGGUAAAAUAUAAAUUGAAUACAUAGUUUAUAUGACUGCUGACAUCAUCCUAUAACUUAUAUCUAAUAUAUUGGUCAACUUAACAGAUAAUCUAGGGAUAUAAAGUUGUUAGCUUGUGAUUUCUAAAUUAUCCUUUAUUCAAACGGAUUCACCUAAGGAAUUAGGGAAUUAUGGUCUUAAAAGAGGGCUAUGAGUAGAGGUGUAUGUGGGUCGGUUUGGAUUGGGUAUGGCCAAACCGAAGACUCGAACCAUAACAAGUGCUCUAGUUUGGGUGUUUAUCCAUUACAUUAUUAGUGUUGUUUGGCCAAACCCUCUAAUUUUUGAUUUGGGUUGUCUGGUAGUGGAUUACCCAAAUUAUUUUUCUGUUUUUUUUUUUUCAAUAUUAAAUGACUAAAUGAUGAGUUUCAUAUUAUUUUUUUUAUAUAAAAAUUACUGAACUAUUUUUUUUUCUAAAAAAUAUUAUGUAACUUAUUUUCACUUUAUUUUAGCGUCAUAAGAUAAUAAUGAUAAUAUGAAAUAAUAAAUUUCAUUAUAAAGUAUUUGUAACAAACUAAAACUGCAAGACAUAAAUUCCAUUAGCAUCAAAAUAAUCAAAAAGUGCAACAUCCAAAUUUGAAACUCUAGCAUUUUUUAUUUUCGAUAUAGAGGAUGUCUUGUGUCAAUUUUGGAUUAGACUUGAUGUAUGACCAAAAUCUUUGGUAUUCCCCUUCUUUUUUAUGAAAAUAAAAAUAAAAAUAAAAAUGCGGGUAUUAUUGGGUACGUGAUUUUAUUGGGUUUGUGUCUGAUUUUACCCGAAACCCAUUAUUUUUUGUGGGUUUUCCAUUUUUUAAAUCAUACCCACCCAACUCAACCCAUCUUUUUCGGUUUUUUGUUGUUGAUUUUUAAAUACUGUUGGCCGCAUUUUGUUAAAACAAGAUGUUCUAGCAAGAUGUUGGACCAGAUUUCCUAGACAUGUUAGUACGACAUCAUGUACCAUGUGAAGUACUUUGUGUUGCUUUCGUGGAAGAUUAUAUUUUUGCGUGAAAUCCUUGAAUAUUUAUUUGACUCAAGAUUUUAUUUACGUCAUGACUUGUGAUCCAAGAGGCGUAUGUUUCUAGAAGUUUUUCAUUGUCGGUUUGCUACGUGGUAUUUUCUAAGUUAAAUGUCCUAGACAUUUAAGAAAAUAAUAUAUUUUCUCCUAGAAUAUUGUGAAGAUCGAAUAUACGUUUUGGUCUGCUGAUUGUUUAGCAUGUGAAGAAAAAGCCCAAACUGCUGGAUGGUUAUAUAAGGAAGAAUUAGACAUAGUUUCAUUUAUGAAAUCAAUAUUAUUGAAUUGAGUUUUUUAGGAUUUCGUUGUUAAGGCUUGUACUUUAUUUUUUAUACCUCUUUGUGUGUUGCCAUUGAUUACCAAAGCACAUAGAUGGUUUGUUUUAGUUGAAUUGUAUUUGGAUCAAAUCCAUCAUAUUUAGAAAAUAGUAUUAGGGUUUGAGUCAAUGUUAUUUGUGAGCCUCUCUUUGUAUGACCUUAAUGCAUUGAGCUGGACUAAUUAUUUGAGUUGUAUUUUUGAACCGCUCUAAAUCUUUUCAGCAAAGGGUAUGUUUUGUUUAUUGGAGUGUGUCUCCUUUUUUUAAUGUAAUCAUUGAAACCACGGGUUGUGUGAUUUAGAUGAAGUGAGAUGUGAUCUCAUAUCUAGGAGAGUCUUAGAUAUAAAUAUCACAAUAAUGACGAGUCUAAAACAUGAACUGGUGAGAGUGGCUUAAGACAAUAAAAGAUAGUAACGAUUAAACUAUAUAUGAAGAUGUGAUCCUAAACUUAAUGAGCCUAAAAGAAUAAGGAGAUAUUGUUAGCCUUUAAAUUCAACAGGCUCAUUUAAUAUGAUCAACAUUUGUUUGACCUUUUACUUUGCAAGAAUUGAAGGCUUUCUCAUUAUAAGGUUGAAGAUUUCGACAAUAUAGCAAGCAAAUGCGUGAUUUGAAGUUCGAUGGAACAAAGUCGAAGAAAGCUCGCGUCAAGGUCAAGCAAUGAAGGCAGGAAAGCACGAGUUCAAGUUUGGAAGCGGUUUACUUAGUGGAAACGUGGGGCAAGCAGUUGUCCUAGAUGGAGGAAGUGUUGAUCAUGGGGCUAACGGUUUGCCAGUUAGGUUUUUAGUACAAAUAAGUGUUUACAAGCUGGAAAAUGGGUCGCAAAUCAUAUACAUAAUUCUACAACAUUCAAACUACAUGCGUCUAGGGAAAUGAGUUAUAUAGAAUGUAUGUAAACUGAUUUGUAGACCACCUUUAGAUUAAUGCAUUGCAUUUACCUUUUCCUUUAAUUUACAUGUUUAAAGCCCUUUAUCUUUUCAUUUUUACUUUACGUUGCUUUUGUUUGCAAUCUCAAAUCUGUCGAGAGACAAUGCCUUUUCUUUACAAACCCGUCAUGCUCUCUAAGUAAUCUGAGUGCAUCUCGUGGCUCUUUUUCAAACCUUUUUUUUUUCAAUCAAAACCUUUGCACAACGUGCUCCUGAGAUCUCUAGUCCGGUCUCGCUUGUAACAAUCAGAACUACCUCGUAGUUUGCUGAAAACACAGGCAAACAUAUACACCUAAUGAUGGAUGUGUGUUUUAAACAUGAUGUUGAAAUAACGAAGAUGUAAACUAUAUAUAUGAUAUGUAGAUAUGAUGUUAAUGGAUCAAUGAGAUGUUAACGUUGUAAUAUGAUGGCAUAGGUUGAUAGUAUAAAUUUUAUAUGACGAUGAUGCAUGACGUAAUAAAUGAUGUUUGUGAAAGACUUCAAGGUAAAGUAGAGAGAGUUGUAAAAGGGUAAUUCAUGAACUAAUAAAGAUGAAAAUAAUAGUAAAUGAGAGUGAAUGAUAAUUGUAGCGAGUAGUAUAUAUGAAGAGCGAGAACGUAGGAAAGUUGUUAGGUUGAAGAGAAGAAUAGUCAAGUUAAAUGGUAAUGAUAAAGAUACGAUGAAGUGUAGUUAACUGCUGAUAGAAGGGAGUAGUUUAAAAAUAAAAUAUAGGGUGAGAUAUGUCGGUCGUAGUAAGGAUGAAUGUCGAGUUACUCUUGAAUAAUAAGAUAGGUUGAUAACAGUGUAAUAGUGAGGUUGAAUUAGAGAACUGAAGAUGAUGAGGGGAUUGUAAAUGAAGAUAUACAGUUGUGUAUGAAGUAAAUGAAUGACGUGAGGGGUAGUAGGAGCUAUAAGUUAGGAUAUGAAUCGAUUAGAAGAGGGUUAGAUGAGAGAGAAAGAAGAUAAUGGCUAAAUGAAGAAAAUGGGAUUAUAUUUGGAAUAGUUCAUAAACAAAAUACGAAAAUAAUAAAAGAAUCUUAGAAUAAAGGUUGAGUCUAAUAAGUACAAACUAUUAGUAAAACAAGCAUAUGAUGUUAGUGGCAUAAGGCAGUAGACGGUGAAGGAAAUGAGUCAAUAUAUGAAGAUAUGAUUUUAUAAGUGGAAGUAAUGAUGAGGUAAAGGCUUAAAUCUAAGACGAAGAAUAGGAUACUCCAUAAAGGGUAAGGUAUAGAACCAACAUGAACAAGUAGAGUGGUGAAGUGGUUUAAGGUAAUGAAGAUGCUAGUCGGAGAAAUAAGACGAAGGUAAUUUGAAAUAUAAAGGUGUAAGUUAAAGUAAGGGAUACUAUUAGAAAUAAUGAUAAUGGUGAAGUAACGAACUUAAGUUAAAAUAAAUAGAGUGUGCUCGAAUUAAGAGGAUAAAUGAUGUUAAAAUAAUUGAUAAGAUGAAAUUGAAUGGAGAGUUGUCGUUAGGAUCAAGCACUUAGUGAAUGAAGAUAGUUAAUGUUGAAUAUAGGUUUUAAGGAGAUGUUGAUUGAUUAUGAUGUCGAGUAAUGAUGUAUUGACUAUGUUGAAAAAUGUUGAAUGAUGAAGUAAUAACCAUGUUGUAUUAUGUUGAAUAAUGACGACGUAAAUGAGCUAUGUUGUGAAGAUGAUCUGUUGUCGAGUAUUUACUACAUGUUGUUAGUGAGUCUCCAUGCAUCAUAUCACAUUGCAUAAAAAUGACGAAAGACAAAUGAUAUUUGUAUGUUCAGUAACUCAAAUCUGACAUACAAAUGUUGAUCAGAAACCGGUACCGGGAUGCAUAUAAGUCUAGGAAUGAAGUGUAAUAGCAUAUGUAUCAUGUUAGGUGUAUAUGGUGUAUUUGUGAUCUGGGUUAAUGUUGACGUAUUAUAAAUGUUAUGUGCAUUACUUUAUUGUUUUGAAAUUGUUGCUUUAUGAUAACGACGACGUGAGGAUGAUGUCGUAUAACCCGAUGACGAAUUGUAAUAUUUUUAGUGCUAUUUGUUACCUUGUUCAACAUUGGAUUGGGAUUUUUUCAAUCGACCCUUUUCGUAUUUCAGACCAUUUGUUCAGUUUGUUCAUUUAACAGACAUUUCAAAAGUUUGGUGAACUGACUUACAUGUCAUUUGGUUCGCUAGUAUUUGGAUCAUUUGAAAAGAGAGGGACAACAUAAUUUUAGCCUCGAUAAAUGACAUGAACUGUUGAUUGCAAUGGUGACUGUUUGAGCCUCGUUUUUUGCGGGUUAAUUGAAAGAUGCAUCGACGCAUUUUGCCAUGUUGAGAUAUAAAAAUAUGGUGACUUAUAGUAACUAUCAUACUCACACCAAUAAGUUUGACUCAACUUAGGGUCGUAUCUGAGGCAGAGCAAGGAGAGGGCCGUUCUAAGCCAAAAAAAUAUUUAAUUAGGCCCCAAGAUAUAAAAAUUAGGCGUCUAUUAAGUCCAAAAAUAAUAAUACUUAAAAGUUUAGUUCUUUGUUGGUCUAUUAAAAAUUUAUCACAUCAUGUUACUAAAGAGAGUUCAAAUCCCUAAUUUGUAACAACAACACUAUAACAAUGUAUACCAAAAUAAAAAGGUACAUGAGAGAAAGACAAAGUUGCAUUGGAAACUUAAAGGGUAAGAAGAAAAAGGGUUUCAACGGCAUCUUCAUUGCCGAGUAUGAUUCACGCAUUAUUAUUUUAUUUUUUGUUUUAUUAUUUUAUCGUAUAAUGUUGCCACGAAAAUAUGCAUCUUGUAGUGAAAAAGGGAAGAAAAAAUGAGCAACAAAAUCACAAAAGUGAGUCAUAGAUAAAUUUGUUUGUAAACAAAUGAUAGUCUUCAAAUUAUGAUUAAUUGGUCGUAGAAGAAGAUGAUCUCGAACAAUCCAAUGAAAAUUGGAAUGAUGACAAUCUUAUCAAUGAUAAUGUUUUUAAUGCGUCGAAUGUUAAUGUAGGCAUAGAUGACCACUUCAUCUAUCCUUUAGAUAUCUAUGAUCCUAGAAAUUGGAGUAUUCUUGAUGCUAAAACCAUAGACAUUUUAAUUGAAAAUGGCCUAUUAGAGAAUUGAAUUGGGUACUUUUGAAAGAAAAUGGUUGAUUUACAAUAAACAUGUGCACAACGUAUAUUGUUUUUGUUGUAAAUUACUCAUGAAGUUUGAUGUUUUUAUUCUAUUAUUAUCUAACGUAAUAAAAACAAUCAUCUUAAAGAAAAUUAUUCACAUUUUAUGAAUUCAAAAAAAAAUAUAUACUUAUUAAUUAGUUAGAGUCUAAAUUAUAGGUUUGCCUUUAGACCACCAAAAUCUUAGAAAUGGUCUCGACUAAGCCGCAAGGAUAAGAAUUCAAAUUCUGCUGCCAUCGUGAGGAUGCAAUUGAUUUGUAAAUAAU
This 55592-nucleotide long non-coding RNA is filed under the name Medicago truncatula (barrel medic). The record is from RNAcentral. Lineage: Eukaryota; Viridiplantae; Streptophyta; Magnoliopsida; Fabales; Fabaceae.